This 49186-nucleotide long non-coding RNA is filed under the name Homo sapiens (human). RNAcentral describes it as "non-protein coding RFX3-AS1:12". The record is from RNAcentral. Lineage: Eukaryota; Metazoa; Chordata; Mammalia; Primates; Hominidae.
AUUCCACCGCAGGACUCCGAAGAGGUGCGCCUAUGCUUGGCUGGGGCUGAGGUCACCAAGAGUCCUCUCGGAGGGACGUUACUACACGCGCUGGCGAGGCCCAGGAGUCGUGGUGCGAGGGGUACUAUCUGUGAAACGAGGGCUGCCUGUCCCAGCAGCCAGCUUUGUACAGAGACGUCCCGGAGCCACGAGAGAGUAACGGCUAACCCGGGGGAGGGGGUGGCGAGGGUGAUUCCAGGCACUUUGUGAAGAAACGAGCUAUGGCGAGGGAAGAAUCCACUUUGAAGAGCGGCCCCCGCCCUGCCCGAUACGUUACUUCCGGGGCGGGGCGGGCAGAGGGGCCCGGAUGUGCCGCCGCUUUUUAGUUUCUGAGGCGCCGGCGGUGUUCCUGGUAGCGUCAGCCUCCUGGCUUUUCCUUUUCCUGGACGCUUCAGGGCUCCGCGGCCUGCGCUAGACUGGAGGGUCCGCGUCACUCUCGCCCUCCUGCUUUCCGCGCUCUCACCCGCUCCCGCCUCCUGAGGGCACGACUUGUGGAGGAGCGCGGGCGGCGGGGCGUGAGCGAGCUGCCUCUGCCGCCAUCUUAGAGAAGGCGAGCGUGGGGUGUGCGUGGGCGCGAGUCGGCCUCCCGCGGUGCCGCCGCAGCGUGGCGCGGAGAGGUGAGGUCCAAGCGUGUCCGGCCCUCACUCCAUAACGAAAAAGCGAGGUCAUCACUCCCUAUCUACAAGGGAUGGGAGUAAGUGCCUGUAGAGAGCAAGAAAUUGCCCUGCCCGGAGGCUGAGAAAGCGCAUUUGGCGGUUCCCCUCGACGGAAGGCGUAGAGGGGCGGGGUAGCUUACACCUGCCUGCGAUACCAUCCUGUUAGUUUCUAGUUCUGUUAGUUUCAGCCCUUAAGUGCUCACCCCUCUUUAAAGACCGAACUGGGAGUUGAGCUCAAGCCCGGAUCCUGUUACCUGCCGUGCUCUCAUCCCCCGUUACUCAGCCUACUGUAGCUGAGGGUCUUGCUGUUUGUGGCUGUAUUGAGAUAGACGAAUGGCUUCCGUCUGUGUUGAAUGUUGUUAACACAACCUGCCAUCUCAAACACCCGUUGAUAAGGCACAGCCUGUAAUGCCUCAUGGUUCAAACAGACUCCUCCAAUUCUCUGCAGACUCGAGUCCAGCAGGCACAUGCCCCCAGGCCCUGCCAAUACCCAAAAUCUCCCAACAUUUGCCGCUAAGCUGCUUAACCAGGACAAUGACAUAGUAGAAGUAGAGCCUUAGGAAGUCAGUUCUCCUCUUGAGGCUUAAUUUUUGCACCUGCAAGUAAGGGAUUUGGGCCGGCAUGCGUUCACCAGCGCUAAAAUAAUACUGAGCUCAUUCUGUGUCCCAGAACUGGUGCUAAGUGUUUUACAUACAUUAUCUCAUGUAAUCCCAACAACACCAGUGUUAGGUAAUAUUCGCAUUUGAGGAAAAACAGGCCGAGAGUCCUAAAAGUCGGUGGUUUUAGUUUAUGGCUGCGUGCCAUAGAAUACAAGGUUACCUUGUUUUAGGAACCAGCUACUUUGGGUACGUUUUUAAAAGUAAUAUUGUUGCCUUUGAUAAUCUCAUGAGUUAGAGAUGUUCUUACAAUAAUAAUGUGUUGCAGUAGUGAACAGUGGUGAGCCUAGUGCUAAAGCUAAAAGGUUUCCUGACCCACUGUGGUAGUAAGGGCUUCUAGUCAGACAAAUGAUUGUGUGGUGACCAGUGUGGGUCCCAUUUGACAUACAGAUGGGAAAUGAGGUAUACGUUCCAGCUUUAUGAAAACUGGUAGUCGUUAUGAAUAUUCUCUUUAUUAUAUUUACUGAUAAAGUCCUCAUUCCUAUAAUGGUGUGUAGGGCUGUAUGUUCACACUACAUGGCUCUCUGAAUAGCUUUGUUUUUUUAAAUUCCAUUGUCUGUUAUAGUUUGCCUGUCCCGUCUUUCAUUGUCAGCUGUUGCUUUUUAUUUUUGUCAGUGAACAUAGUUCUAUUAUCCUUACCGCCCUUUUAAUUUAUUGCUCUUAAUCUGCAGGCAAGAAAACCACAUAGUGAACCUUGUGCAAAACUGUAUCUCAAGAGUAUAAAUAGGUACUUCGAGGGACUAUUAAAAAAUAAGUGCAACCCUUGUGCUAGGACAUUAUAGAAUCAGUUUUAAGCUGCUUAAAUUUUUUUUUUUUUUUUUUUUUUUUUUUUUUGCCUUACAGAUUUGGUCUUUUCCAGAGUUAGGAAUAGAUAAAUUUCCUGAAGUUAAUUCUUGAAAAUUUAGAAUUUAGAAUAUUUUCCCAUGUUUUAGGAUACUUGAUGAUGAUACAAUUCUAACCAUAUUGAGGUUAAUAUUUGAAAUGUUAGUGUUACUGCCUGAUAGGGUUUGGCUUUGUGUCCCCACCCAACUCUCAUGUGAAAUCGUAAUCCGAAAGUGUUGAAGGAGGGGCCCUGUGGGAGAUGAUUGGAUCCUGGGGGCAGUUUCUGAUGGUUUAGCACCAUCCCACUAGUGCUGUUUCAAGAGUGACUUCUCACGAGAUCUGCUUGUUUAAAAAUAUUUACCACUACCCCUCUCUCACCUGCCACAAUGUGAAGAAAGUCCUUGUACCCUUCGCCUUCCGCCAUAAUGGAGACGACUCACCUGUAUUGUACCUCUCCAAGUUCUGGAAAGUCGAUGGAGGGUUUACUCAGAACUUCAAUCUAUCCAGAACUGAGUUUUGUUUAUGGUGUGUGCCAGGUUCACGGGCACUUGUGAAGGUUUGUUAUACAGGUAAAUUGUGUGUAACCAGGGUUUGGUGUGAAGAAUAUUUUGUCACCCAGGUAAUAAGCAUAAUACUCUACAGGUAGUUUUCUGUUCCUCUCCCUCCUCCCAAACUCCACCCUCAAGUAGGCUCCAGUGUCUGUUGUUCCCUUCUUUGAGUCCAUGUGUACUCACUGUUUAGCUCCUGCUUAUAAGUGAGAACAUGUGGUAUUUGGUUUUCUGUUCCCGAGUUAUCUCUUGUAGGAUAAUGACCUCCAGCUCCAUCCGUGUUACUGCAAAAGACACAGUCUUGUUCUUUUUAUGGUUAUGUAAUGUCCCAUGGUGUAUAUGUACCACAUUUUCUUCAUCCAGUCUACCAUUGAUGGGCAUUUAGGUUGAUUCCAUGACGUUGCUAUUGUGAAUAGUGCUGAGAGGAACAUACACGUGCAUGUGUUUUUAUAGUAGAAUGAUUUAUGUUCCUUUGAAUAUAUACCCAAUAAUAGGAUUGCUGGGUCAAAUGGUACUUCUGUUUUUACUUCUUUGAGAAACCACCACACCGCUUUCCGCAAUGGCUUAACUAAUUUACAUUUCCACCAGCAGGGUGUAAGUGUUCCUUUUUUCUGCAAACUCACCUGCAUAUAUUAUUUUUUGACUUUUUAAUAAUAGCCAUUCUGACCGGUGUGACAUGGUAAUCUCAUUGUGGUUUCAAUUUGCAUUUCUCUUAUGAUUAGUGAUGUGCAUUUUUUCAUAUGCUUGUUGGCAACACGUAUGCCUUCUUUUGGAAAGUGUCUGUUCAUGUCCCUUGCCCACUUUUUAAUGUAGUUGUUUGUUGUUUGCUUGUUAAUUUAUUUAAGUUCCUUGUAGAUUCUGGGUAUUAGCUCUUUGUCAAAUACAUAGUUUGCAAAUAUUUUCUCCCAUUCUGCAGGUUGUCUGUUUACUCCGUUGACAGUUUCUUUUGCUGUAUAGAAGUUCUUUAGUUUAAUUAGGACCCAUUUGUCAACCUUUGUUUUUGUUGCAAUUGCUUUUGGCAUCUUCAUCAUGAAAUAUUUUCCAGGGCCUAUGUCCAGAAUGGUAUAUUCCCUACGUUAUCUUCCAGGGUUUCUAUAGUUGUAGGUUUUACAUUUAAGUCUUUAAUCCAUCUUGAGUUGAUUUUUGUAUACAGCAGAAGGAAAGGGUCCAGCUUCAAUCGUCUGUAUAUGAUAAGCCAAUUAUCCCAGGACCAUUUACUAAGUAGGGAGUCCUUUCCCCAUUGCUUGUUUUUGUUGACUUUGUCAAAGAUCAAAUGGUUGUAGGUGGCACUAUUUAUGGGCUCUCUAUUCUGUUCCACUCAGUUUUGUUCUUUUUCUUAGCAUUACCUUGGCUAUUAGAGCUCCUUUUUGUUUCCAUUAAAUAGAUUUUUAUAAUUCUGUGAAGAAUAUCAUUGGUAGUUUAAUAGGAAUAGCAUUUAAUCUGUAGAUUGCUUUGGACAGUAUGGCCAUUUUAAUAAUAUUGCUUAUUCGUAUUCAUGAAAGUGGAAUGCUUUUUCAUUUGUUUGUGUCAUCUCUGAUUUCUUUAAGCAGUAUUUUAUACUUCUCACAGAAAUCUUUCACCUUCCUCAUUAGCUAUACUUCCAGGUUUUUUUUUUUCUUUUAUUUGUGGCUAUUGUGAAUGAGAUUACAUUCUUGAUUUGGCUCUCAGCUUGGACAUUGUUGGUGUAUAAAAAGGUUACUGAUUUUUGUAUAUUGAUUUUGUAUCCUUGAAGCUUUGCUGAAGUUGUUUAUCAGAUCUGGGAGCUUUUGGGCAAAGACUAUGGGGUUUUCUAGGUAUAGAAUGGUAUUAUCUACAAAUAGAUAAAUUGGCUUUCUGUCUUCCUAUUUGGAUUCCUUUUCUUUCUUUCUCUUGCCUGAUUGCUCUGGCUAGCACUCCCAGUAGUAUGUUGAAAAAGAGUAGUGAGAGUGAACAUCCAUGCCUUAUUCUGGUUUUCAAGGGGAAUGCUUCCAGCUUUUGCCUAUUCAGUAUGAAGUUGGCUGUUGGUUUGUCAUAGAUGGCUCUUAUUAUUUUGAAGUGUGUUCCUUCAAUGAUUAGUUUGCUGAAGGUUUUAACAUGAAAGAAUGUUGAAUUUUAUCAAAAACUGUUUCUGCAUCUAUUGAGAUGAUCGUAUGGUUUUUGUUUUUAGUUCUGUUUAUGUGGUGAAUCACAUUUAUUGAUUCACGUAUUUUGGAUCAACCUUGCAUCCCAGGGAUAAAGCCUACUUCAUAUGGUGGAUUAGUUUUCUGAUGUGCUGCUGGAUUCAGUUUUCUUGUAUUUUGUUGAAGAUUUUUGCAUCUAUGUUCAUCAAGGAUAUUGGCUUGAGUUUUCUUUGUGUUUUUGUUUACUUUAUGGGAUAUAUAUCAACUUUGUCUUCCAAUCCUUCUACUAAAUUUUAAAAAUUCACUACCACAUCUUUAACUCCAAAAGUUCUUUUUUUGGUUCCCAAAUGUUUCUUUCUUUAUAGCCUCCUAUUCUUGUUUUAUUUAUGUUGUAUCUUUUCUUAAGCUUCUGAAGCUAUUUACAAUAGUCCUUUUUUUAAAAAAAAUAUUUAAUUGACAAAUACAAAUUAUAUAUAUUUAUCAUAUGCAAUAUGUUGUUUUGAAAUAUGUAUACAUUAUGGAAUGGCUAAAUUGAGCUAAUUAACAUUUGUUUCAUUUAGCUUUUUUAGAAAUAUUUUUGCAGUUUUUUUUGGUCAAUGUUGUACACUUCUUGAUUAGACUUAUUCCUAGAUUUGACAUUUUUCAUACUAUUAUAAAUUAUAUAAUUUAAAAAUAUUUAUUUUCUCUCUUUAUGUUGCUGGCAUACAGAAGUACAAUUGAAAUUUGUAUAUUGACCUUGAAUGAAGCAAUCUUGCUAAAUUUACUAAUCACUUAGAUUUUUCUAGAUUUUUUAGGUACACAAUUAUAGUAUCUGCAAAUAAUAACAGAUUUUUUUCUUUCUCUCCAAUUUAUUUAUAUUUGCCCUACUCCCCCCAGUUUUACUGUCUAGGACUCCAGUAUAGUGUUGAACAGAAAUUGUGAUAAUAGGUAUCCUUGUCUUUUUUCCAACUUCAUAGAAAAAAUUCCCAAUAUUUCAUAAAUGAGUAUUAGUUAGCUAGGACCACAGGUGUCCACCAUCUUGCCUGGCUAAUUUUUGUAUUUUCUGUAGAGACAGGGUUUCACCAUAUUGCCCCUACUGGUUUUGAACUCCUGAGCUCAAGUGAUCCACCAGCCUCAGCUUCCCAAAGUGCUGGCUGGGAUUACAGGCAUGAGCCACCACUCCUAGCUUGUAGUUAGUCUUUUGGUUAAGUUCAUCUUUUUGUCUUUCUAUUCAAGAUAUGUGUAAUUAUACCCCACAAUUACGGUGUUAUAAUAUUCUGUGGUUUUCUGUGUGUUCACUAUUACCACUGAGUUUUCUACCUUCAGAUGAUUUCUUAUUGCUCAUUAAUACCCCUUUCUUUCAGAUUGAAAAACUCCCUUUAGCAUUUCUUGUAGGACAGGUCUGGUGUUGGUGAAAUCCCUCAGCUUUUGUUUGUCUGGGAAAGUCUUUUUUUCUCCUUCAUAUUUGAUGGAUAUUUUCACUGGCUGUACUGUUCUAGGUUAAAAGUUUUUUUCCUGCAGCACUUUAAAUAUGUCAUGCCACUCUCUCCUAGACUGUAAGGUUUCCAAUAAGAAGUCUGCUGCUAGAUGCACUGGAGAUGUAUUGUAUGUUAUUUGUUUCUUUUCUCUUGCUGCUUUUAGAAUCCUUCCUUUAUCCUUGAUGUUUGAGAGUUUGAUUAUGAAAUGUCUUGAGGUAGUCUUGUUAAAUCUGCUUGGUGCUCUAUAACCUUCUUGUACUUGAAUAUUGAUAUCUUUCUCUACAUUUAGGAAAUUCUCUGUUUAUAUCCCUUUGAAUAAACUUUCUGCCCUGACCUCCCUCUCUACCUUUGGUUUAGGGGCAAUAGCUUUUAGAUUUCCCCUUUUGGGGCUAUUUUCUAGAUCUUGUCAGUGUGCUUCAUUGUUUCUUAUUCUUGUUUAUUUUUUCUCCUCUGACCAUAUAUUUUCAAAUAGCCUGUCUUCAAGUUCACUAAUUCUUUCUUCUGCUUGAUCAAUUCUGCUGUCAGAAGACACUGAUGCAUUCUUCAUUAUAUGAAUUGCAUGUUAAAGUCCUGAAUUUCUGCUUGAUUCAUUUGCAUUAUUUCAAUCUCUUUGUCAAAUUUAUCUGAUAGGAUUCUGAAUUCCAUCUCUGUGUUAUCUUGAAUUUAAUUGAGCUUCCUCAAAACAGCUAUUUUGAAUGAUUUGUCUGAAAGGUCACGUAUCUCUGUCUCCCUGGGAUUGGUCCCUGGUCCCUUAUUUUAUGCAUUUGGUGAGGUCAUGUUUUCCUGUAUGGGCUUGAUGCUUGUGAACAUUCAUCAGUGCCUGGGCAUUGAAGAGUUAGGUAUUUAUUGUAGUCUUCACAGUCUAGGCUUGUUUGUACUCAUUCUUCUUGGAAAGGUUUUCCAGGUAUUUGAAGGGACUUGGGUGUUGUGAUUUAAUUCUUUGGUCACUGAAGCUGCAUCUGCUCUUAGGGGCACCCCAAGCCCAGUAAUGCUGUGGCUCUUGCAGACUCAUAGAGGUACCCCCUUCUUGGUCUUGUGUAAGAUCUUAGAGAAUUCUCUAGAUCAGAACAGAGACUCUUGUUCUCUUCCCUUACUUUCCCCCAAACAAAUGGGAUCUCUCCCUCUCCCUCUCUCUCUCCCAAAGGCUCUGUAAUCAGUAGGUGGCAAAUCUAGCCAAACUUGUGUCCUUCCCUUCAGGGAAAUGGGAUCCCCUCAGCCCCAGAUGGCUCUGAAGAUGCCAUCCAGGAGCCAGGGCCUGGAGUCAGGAACCUCAGGAAUAUAUUUGGAGUUAUAUUCUAGUGUGACUCAGCUGGUUCCAAAGCCACAAAUCAAAGUCCUUCUCAUUCUUCCCUUCCCUUUCCUCAAGCAGAGGAGUCUCUCUCCAUGACCACCACCACCAUAAGCCUGUGGCAGUACUGUCUGGCUGUCACUGAUGUUCACUGAAGGCCCAAAGACUCUUCCAUCACCUUAUAGUGAAUGCUAUCAGUGCCUAGCUCUCCCUUCAGGGAAGUGGGCUCCCCUCUGGCCCAGGGCAGCCCCAGAAAUACCAUCCAAAAGCCAAGGCCUGGAAUCAGGGACCCGAGUAACCCACUUAAUGUUCUACUCCAUUGUGGCUGACCUGGUACCUAAGUGGCAAGAGAAAGUCUCUUUUACUCUUCCUUCUCCUUUCCUCAACCAGAAGGAUUCUUGCUCUGCAGCCACCACAGCUGGGAAUGUGCUGGGUUACACUUGAAGCCAGCAUGGCUCUGAGGCCCAGAGUGAGUAUUGCCUGGCUACUAGUACUAAUUAUUGAGGGCUUAAGAGCUCUUUAAUUAGCAGGUGAUGAAUUCUUCCAGGAAUGGGUCUUUCCCUUCAAGCCAGCAGGUUUCAUUUUGGCCUAGGGUGUGUUUAGAAAUGUUCAGGAGCUAGGACUCAGAAUGUGAGCCACAGGAGUCUUCUUUUUGUUCUAUUCUACUGUGACUGUGCUGGUAUCCAAGUUGCAAGAGACAAUCCUUUAUACUCUCCCCUCUCUCCUUUCCUCAAGCAGAAGGAAGGGGCUUCUCCUGGAGCUGCAAACUAUGCUUCCUGGGGUUGGGGAAGGGGUGAUAUAAGCGCUCCUUUGGCUUCCCCAGCUAGUGUCUCACUAGGUCACAUUCACCCCAAGUCCACGGUCUCCGAGCCCAGCACAGCAAUAAGACUUGCCCAGGAAUUGCAGUUCUUGUGGCCUAGACUGCCUUUCAAGUUUAUUUAGGACCCCAGAGUGCUUUAGUCCAUGGUGAUAGCACUUGUUGGAACUUCUGCCCUGAUUGCUGGGAUAGAUGAUUCAGCUCUGGCUAGGGCUGGUCUAAAUGCUCCCUCCAUGGGUACUGGGUGAGAUCUGCCUUGUGUUGCUUUCUUCUGUCACAGGGCAGCACUGAGUUCCAAUGCAAAGUUCCACAAUCCCUGCACUUUCCCUCCCUCAAGUGCACUGAUUCUCUCUCCAUGCCUUGUAGCCACUGCCACAAGAUGGGUGAAGGAUGGUGUAGGUAAUUCAAGACUGUAGUUUCUACCCUUUUUAGUGCCUUUUUCUUUAAUAUUUUGCUAAAACCAGGUACUGUUGUCACUCACCUGAUUUUUCAUUCUUAUGAAGGUAUUCUUUUGUGUGGAUAGUUGUUCAAUUUGGUGUUCCUGUGUGUGUGUGUGUAUGGGUGGGGGUUGCUGGAGGCUUUUAUUUGGCCAUAUUGCUCUGCCUCCUCUAUAAACCUCUCCUGGGCUGUAUUUUUUGUUGAGUUAGAGGAAUUUUUUUUAUAUUCUACAUACAUGUUCCUUGUUAGAAGUUAUGUCUUGCCAGUUAUUUUUUUCUUCAACUUUUAUUUUAAGUUCAGGGGUACAUGUGCAGGAUGUGCAGGUUUGUUACAUAGGUAAACCUGUGCCAUAGUGGUUUGCUGCACAGAUCAACCCAUCACUUAGGUAUUAAGCCCAGCAACCAUUAACUAUACUUCCUGAUGGUCUCCCUCCCCCAACCAUUCCCCUCCGACAGGCCCUAGUGUGUGUUGUUCCCCCAGUGUGCCAUGUGUUCUCAUCAUUCAGCUCCUGCUUGUGAGAACAUGUGGUUUUUGGUUUUCUGUUCCUGCUUUGGUUUACUGAGGAUAAUGGCUUCCCAUUCCAUCCAUGUCCCUGUUAAAGGACAUGAUCUCAUUCCUUUUUAUGGAUGCAUAGUAUUCCAUGGUGUAUAUAUAUCACAUUUUCUUUAUCCAGUCUACCACUGAUUGGCAUUUAGGUUGAUGCUGUGACUUUGUUAUUGUGAAUAGUGCUUUAAUGAACACACAUGUGCAUGUAUCUUCAUAACAGAAUGAUUCAUAUUCCUUUGGGUAUAUACCCAGUAGUGGGGUUGCUGGGUCAAAUGUAAUUUAUGCCUUUAGGUCUUUGAGGAAUUGCCACACUGACUUCCACAAUCGUUGAACUAAUUUACACUUCCACCAACAGUGUAAAAGCGAUCCCUUUCUCUGCAACCUCACCAGCAUCUGUUGUUUUUUGACCUUUUAAUACUAGCCAUUCUGACUGGCAUGAGAUGGUAUCUCAUUGCGGUUUUGGUUUACAUUUCUCUAAUAAACAGUCUUAUAUAUGUUUAUUGGCAGCAUAUAUGUUUUAUUUUGAGGAGUGUCUGCUUAUGUACUUUGCUUACUUUUUAAUGGGGUUGUUUGUCUUUUUUCUUGUAAAUUUGUUUAAGCUCCUUGUAUAUUCUGGAUAUUAGAUCUUUGCCAGAUGAAUAGAUUGCAUAAAUUUUCUCCCAUUUUGUAGGUUGUCUGUUCACUCUGAUGAUAGUUUCUUUUGCUGUGCAGAACCUCUUUAGUUUAAUUAGAACCUAUUUGUCAAUUUUUGCUUUUGUUACAAUUGCUUUUAGCAUUUUCAUCAUGAAAUUUUUGCACGUGCCUAUGGCCUGAAUGGUAUUGCCUAGAUUUCCUUCUAAGGUUUUUAUAGUUUUGGGUUUUACAUUUAAAUCUUUAAUUCAUCUUGAGUUAUUUUUUUAUAUGGUGUAAGGAACGGGUCCAGUUUUAAUAUUUUGCAUAUGGCUAGCCAGUUCUCACAGCACCAUUUAUUAUAUAGGGAAUCCUUUCCCCAUUGUUUGUUUUUGUCAGGUUUGUUGAAUAUCAGAUGAUUGGAGGUAUGUGGUCUUAUUUCUGAGUUCUCUAUUCUGUUCCAUUGGUCUAUGUGUACAAGUACGAUGUUGUUUUGCUUUCUGUAGCCUUGUAGUAUAGUUUGAAAUUGGGCAGUGUGAUGUCUCCAGCUUUGUUCUUUUUGCUUAGGAUUGUCUUGGCUAUUUGGGCUCUUUUUUGGUUCCAUAUGAAUUCUAAAAUAGUUUUCUUUUUCUAAUUCUGUGAAGAAUUUCAAUGGUAGCUAAAUGGGAAUAGCAUUGAAUAUAUAAAUUACUUUGGGCAAUAUGGCCAUUUUCACAAUAUUGGUUCUUUCUACCCAUGAGCAUGGAAUGUUUUCCCGUUUGUUUGUGUCCUCUCUAAUUUCUUUGUGUAGUCGUUGGUAGUUCUCCUGGAAGAGGCCCUUCACUUCCCUUAUUACCUGUAUUCAGAGGUAUUUUAUUCCUUUGUAGCAAUUGUGAAUGGGAGUUCAUUCAAGAUUUGGCUCUCUGAUGGCCUGUUGUUGGUGUAUAGGAAUGCUAGCAAAUUUUGCACAUUGAUUUUGGAUCCUGAGACUGCUGAAGUUGCUUAUUAACUUAAGAAGCUUUUGGGCUCAGAUGAUGAGGUUUUCUAGAUAUAGAAUCAAGUCAUCUGCAAACAAAGAAAAUUUGACUUCCUCUCUGCCUAUUUGAAUACACCUUAUUUCUUUCUCUUGCCUUAUUGCCCUGGCCAGAACUUCCAAUACUGUGUUGAAUAGGACUGGUGAGACAGGGCAUUCUUGUCUUGUGCCAGUUUUCAAGGGGAAUGCUUCCAGCUUUUGCCCACUGACUAUGAUAUUGGCUGUGAGUUUGUCACGUAUGACUCUUACUAUUUUGAGGUAUGUUCUUUCAAUACCUAGUUUAUUGAAAGUUUUUCACAUGAAGGGAUGUUGAAUGUUAUCAAAGGCCUUUUCUGCAUCUUUUGAGAUAAUCAUGUGGUUUUUGUCUUUAGUUCUGUUUAUGUGAUGAAUCACAUUUAUUGGUUUGCAUAUGUUGAACCAACAUUGCAUCCCAAGAUGAAACCAAUUUGAUCACGUUUGAUAAGCUUUUGAUGUGCUGCUGGAUUCAGUUUGACAGUAUUUUAUUGAGGAUUAUUACAUUGAUGUUCAUCAAAGUUAUUGGCUUGAAGUUUUCUUUUUUUGUUGUAUUUCUGCCAGGUUUUGGUAUAAGGACGAUGCUGGCCUCAUAGAAUGAGUUAAGGAGGAGUUCCUCCUUUUCAAUUGUUUGAAAUAGUUUCAGUAGAAAUGUUAUCGGUUCUUCUUUGUACCUCUGGUAGAAUUCAGCCAGGACCUCUGGUCCUGGGCUUUUUUUGGUUGAUAGGCUAUUUAUUACUGCCUCUAUUUCAGAACUCAUUAUUGGUCUAUUCAGGGAUUCAGUUUCUUCCUGGUUCAGCCUUGGGAGGGUGUAUGGGUCCAGGAAUUUAUCCAUUUCUUCUCAAUUUUCUAGUUUAUGUGCAUAGAGGUGUUUAUAAUAUUCUCUGAUGGUUGUUUGUAUUUCCAUGAUAUCAGUGGUGAUAUCCUUCUUAUUUCUGAUAGUGUUUCUUUUAAUUAGUAUAGCUAGUGGUCUAUCUAUUUUAUUAAUUUUUUGAAAAAACAAGCUCCUGGGUUUGUUGGUUUUUUGAAGGGUUUUUCAUGUCAUCUCCUUCAGUUCAGCUCUGAUCUUGGUAAUUUCUUGUCUACUGUUAGCUGUGGGAGUUGUUUCCUCUUGGUUCUCUGGUUCUGUUAGUUGUGAUGUUAAGUUGUCAACUUGAGAUCUUUCUAUCUUUUCGAUGUGGGCAUUUAGUGCUAUAAAUUUCCCUCUUAAUGCUGCUUUAGCUGCAUCCCAGGAAUUCUAAUAUGUUAUCUCUUUGUUCUCAUUAGUUUCAAAGAACUUUUUGAUUUCUGCCUUAAUUUCAUUAUUUACCCAAGAACCAUUCUAGAGCAGGCUGUUCAAUUUCCAUGUAGUUGUGUGGUUUUGAAUGAAUUCCUUUUUUUUCUUUUUUUUUUUUUGAGACAAACUCUCACUCUGUCACCCAGGCUGGAGUGCAGUGUCAUGAUCAUAGCUCACUGUAACCUCCGCCUCCCAGGUUCAAGCAAUUCUCCUGCCUCAGCUUCCUGAGUAGCUGGGACUACAGGCGUGUGCCACCGCACCCGGGUAAUUUUUUGUAUUUUAUUAGUAGAGAUGGGGUUUCACCAUAUUGGCCAGCUGGUCUUGAACUCCUGACCUCGUGAUCUGCCUGCCUCGGCCUCCCAAAGUGCUGGGAUUACAGGCAUGAGCCACCGCGCCCAGCCAGUUUUGAGUGAAUUUCUUAAUCUUGAGUUCUAAUUUGUUUGUGCUGUGGUCUGACAGACUGUUAUGAUUUCAGUUUUUUCUUUUACAUUUGCUGAAAAGAGUUUUACUUCAAAUUAUGUAAUCAAUUUUAGAAUAAGUGCUGCAUGGCAAUGAGAAGAAUGUAUAUUCUCUGUUGUUUUGAGGUACACAGUUCUGUAGAUAUCUACUAGGUGCACUUGAUCCAGAGCUGAAUUCAGGCCCUGUAUAUCUUUGUUAAUUUUCUGUCUUGAUAGUCUAAUAUUGUUAAUGGGGUGUUAAAGUCUCCCACUAUUAUUGUGUGAGAGUCUAAGUCUCUUUAUAGGUCUCUAACAACUUGCUUUAUGAAUAUGGGUGCUCUUGUAUUGGGUGCAUAUAUAUUUAGGAUAGUUAGCUCUACCUGUUGAAUUGAGCCCUUAAUCAUUAUGUAAUAUCCUUCUUUGUCUUUUUUUUUUUUUUUAAAUCUGUGUUGGUUUAAAGUCUGUUUUGUCAGAAAUCAGGAUUGCAACAUCUGCUUUUUUCUGUUUUUCAUUUGCUUGGUAAAUUUUCCUCCAUUCCUUUAUUUUGAUCCUAAUGUUUGUCUUUGCAUGUUAGAUGGAUCUCUUGAAGGCAGCAUACCAAAGGGUCUUCACUCUUUAUCCAAUGUUCCAUUCUGUGUCUUUUAUUUGGGGCAUUUAGCCCAUUUACAUUAAAGGUUAGCACAUAUAUAUAUAUACUUUAAGUUCUGGGAUACAUGGACUGAACAUGAAGGUUUGUUACAUAGGUAUACAUGUGCCAUGAUGGUUUGCUGCACCCAUCAAUCUGUCAUCUACAUUAGGUAUUUCUCCUAAUGCUAUCCCUCCUCUUGCCCCCAUCCCCUGAAAGGCCCCAGUGAGUGAUGUUGCCCUCCCUAUGCCCAUAUGUUCUCAUUGUUCAACUCCCACUGAUGAGUGAGAACAUGCAGUGUUUGGUUUUCUCUUCCUGUGUUAGUUUGUUGAGAAUGACGGUUUCCAGCUUCAUCCAUGUCCCUGUAAAGGAGAUGAACUCAUUCUUUUUUAUGGCUGCAUAGUAUUCCAUCGUGUAUAUGUGCCACAUUUUCUUUAUCCAGUCUAACAUUAAUGGGCAUUUGGGUUGGUUCCAAGUCUUUGCUAUUGCAUAUAAUGCUGCAAUAAACAUACGUGUGCAUGUGUUUUUAUAGUAAAAUGAUUUAUAAUCCUUUGGGUAUAUACCCAGUAAUGGGAUUGCUGGGUCAAAUGGUAUUUCUAGUUCUAGGUCCUUGAGGAAUUGCCACAUUGUCUUCCACAAUGGUUGAACUAAUUUACAUUCUCACCAACAGUGUAAAAGCAUUCCUAUUUCUCCACAUCCUCACCAGCAUCUCUUGUUUCCUGACUUGUUAAUGAUUGCCAUUCUAACAGACGUGAGAUAAUAUCUGAUUGUGGUUUUGAUUUGCAUUUCUCUAAUGACCAGUGAUGAUGAGCUUUUUUUCAUAUGUAUGUUGCCGGCGUAUGGCAGCAUAAAUGCCUUUUGAGAAGUGUCUGUUCAUAUCCUUUGCCCAAUUUUUGAUGGGUUUUUUUUUUUCUUGUAAAUCUGUUGAAGUUCCUUGUAGAUUCUAUAUAUUAGGCCUUUGUCAGAUGGAUAGAUUGCAAAAAUUUUCUCCCAUUCUGCAGGUUGCCUAUUCACUCUGGUGAUAGUUUCUUUUGCUGUGCAGAAGUUCUUUACUUUACUUACAUACCAUUUGUAAAUUUUGGCUUUUGUUACCAUUGGUUUUGAUGUUUUGGUCAUGAAGCAUUUGCCCAUGCCUAUGUCCUGAUUGGUAUUGCCUAGGUUUUCUUCUAGGAUUUCUAUGGUUUUAGGUCUUAUGUUUAAAUCUUUAAUCCACUUUGAGUUAAUUUUUGUAUAAGGUGUAAGGAAGGGGCCCAGUUUCAGUUUUCUGCAUAUGGCUAGCUACUUUUCCCAACACCACUUAUUAAAUAGGGAAUCAUAUUACCAUGGCUUGUUUCUGUCAGGUUUAUCAAAGAUCAGAUUGUUGUAGAUGUGUGGUGUUAUUUCUGAGGCCUCUGUUCUGUUGCAUUGGUCUAUAUAUCUGUUUUGGUACAAGUACCUUGCUGUUUUGGUUACUGUAGCCUUGUAGUAUAGUUUGAAGUCAGGUAGCAUGAUGCCUUCAGCUUUGUUCUUUUUGCUUAAGAUUGUCUUGGCUAUACAGGCUCUUUUUUGUUUCCAUAUGAAAUUUAAAGUAGAUUUUUCUAAUUCUGUAAAGAAAGUCAAUGGUAGCUUGAUAGGAAUAGCAUUGAAUCUAUAAAUUACUUUGGUCAGUAUGGCCAUUUUCGUGAUAUUGAUUCUUCCUAUCCAUGAGCAUGGAAUGUUUUUCCGUUUGUUUGUGUCCUCUCUUAUUUCCUUGAGCAGUGGUUUGUAGUUCUCCUUGAAGAGGUUUUUCACAUCCCUUGUAAGUUGUGUUCAUAGGUAUUUUAUUCUCUUUGUAGCAAUUGUGAAUGCGAUUUUGCUCAUGAUUCGGCUCUCUGUCUAUUAUUGAUGUAGAGGAAUACUUGUGAUUUUUGCACAUUGAUUUUGUAUCCUGAGACUUUUUUGAAGUUCCUUGUCAGCUUAAGAGAUUUUCAGGCUGAGACAAUGGGGUUUUCUAAAUAUACAAUCAUAUCAUCUACAAACAGAGAUAAUUUGACUUCCUAGCUUUUUAUCUGAAUAUGCUUUAUUUCUUCCUCUUGCCUGACUGCCCUGGCCAGAACUUCCAAUACUGUGUUGAAUAGGAGUGGUGAGAGAGGCAUCCUUGUCUUGUGCCGGUUUUCAAAGGAAAUGCUUCCAGUUUUUGCCCAUUCUGUAUGAUAUUGGCUGUGGGUUUGUCAUAAACAGCUCUUUAUUAUUUUGAGAUAUGUUCCAUCAAUACCUAGUUUAUUGAGAGUUUUUAGCAUGAAGUGCUGUUGAAUUUUAUCUAAAGCCUUUUCUGCAUCUAUUGAGAUAAUCACAUGGUUUUUGUCAUUGGUUCUGUUUAUGUGAUGGAUUACAUUUGUUGAUUUGCAUAUGUUGAACCAGCCUUGCAUCCCAGAGAUGAAGCUGAGUUGAUUGUGGUGGAUGAGCUUUUUGAUGUACGGCUGGAUUCGGUUUGCCAGUAUUUUUUUUGAGGAUUUUCACAUCAAUGUUCAUCAGGGAUAUUGGCCUGAAAUUUUCUUUUUUGUUGUGUCUCUGCCAGGUUUUGGUAUCAGGAUGAUGCUGGCCUCAUAAAAGGAGUUAUGGAAGAGUCCCUCUAUUUCUAAUGUUUGGAAUAGUUUCAGAAGGAAUGGUACCAGCUCCUCUUUGUAUCUCUGGUAGAAUUUGGCUGUGAAUCUGUCUGGUCAUGGGCUUUUUUUGGUUGGUAAGCUAUCCUGCCUCAAUUUCAGAUCUUGUUAUUGGUCUAUUCAGGGAUUUUACUUCUUCCUGGUUUAGUCUUGAGAGGGUGUAUUUGUCCAGGAGUUUAUCCAUUUCUUCAAGAUUUCCUAGUUUAUUUGCAUAGAGGUGUUUAUGGUAUUCUCUGAUGGUAGUUUGUUUUUCUGUGGGAUCAGUGGUGAUCUCCCCUUUACCAUUUUUUAUUGCAUCUAUUUUAUUCUUCUCUCUUUUCUUCUUUAUUAGUCUGGCUAGUGGUCUAUCAAUUUUGUUAACCUUUUCAAAAAAAAAACAGUUUCUGGAUUCAUUGAUUUUUUUGAAGUGUUUUUUGUGUUUCUACCUACUUCAGUUCUGCUCUGAUCUUAGUUAUUUCUUGUCUUCUGCUACCUUUUGAAUUUGUUUGCUCUUGCUUCUCUUGUUCUUUAAAUUGUGAUGUUAGGGUGUCUAUUUUAGAUCUUUCCUACUUUCUCCUAUGGGCAUUUAGCGCUAUAAAAUUCCCUCUAAACACUGCUUUAGCUGUGUCCCAGAGAUUCUGGUACAUUGUGUCUUUGUUGUCAUUGGUUUCAAAGAACUUAUUUAUUUCUGCCUUAAUUUCGUUAUUUACCCAGUAGUCAUUCAGGAGCAGGUUGUUCAGUUUCCAUGUAGUUGUGCAGUUUAGAAUGAGUUUCUUAAUCCUGAGUUCUAAUUUGAUUGCACUGUGGUCUGAGAGACUGUUAUGAUUUCUGUUCCUUUGCGUUUGGUGAGGAGUGUUUUACUUCCAAUUAUGUGGCUGAUUUUAGAAUAAGUGGUAUUUGCUGCUGAGAAGAAUGUAUAUUCUGUUGAUUUGGGGUGGGGAGUUCUGUAGAUGUCUAUUAGGUCCACUUGGCCCAGGGCUGAGUUCAAGUCCUGAAUAUCCUUAUUAAUUUUCUGUCUUGAUGAUCUGUCUAAUAUUGACAGUGGGGUGUUAAAGUCUCCCACUAUUAUUGUGUAGGAGUCUAAGUCUCUUUGUAGGUCUCUAAGAACUUGGUUUAUGAAUCUGGGUGCUCCUGUAUUGGGUGCAUAUAUAUUUAGGAUAGUUACUGCUUCUUGUUGCAUUGAUCCCUUUACCAUUAUGUAAUGCCCUUCUUUGUCUUUUUUGAUCUUUGUUGGUUUAAAGUCUGUUUUAUCAGAGGCUAGGAUUGCAAUCCCUGUUUCUUUUUGCUUUCCAUUUGCUUGGCAAAUAUUCCUCCAUCCCUUUAUUUUGAGCCUAUGUGUGUCUUUGCACGUGAGAUGGGUGGGUCUCCCGAAUACAGCACACUGAUGGGUCUUGACUCUUUAUCCAAUUUUCCAGUGUGUGUCUUUUAAUUGGGGGAUUUAGCCCGUUUACAUUUAAGGGUAAUAUUGUUAUGUGUGAAUCUGAUCCUGUCAUUAUAAUGCUAGCUCAUUAUUUUGCCCAUUAGUUGUUGCAGUUUCUUCAUAGUGUUGAUAUUCUUUACAUUUUGGUUUGUUUUUUCAGUGCUAGUACCAGUUUUUCCUUUCCAUAUUUAAUGCCUCCUUCAGGAGCUCUUGUAAGCCAGGCCUGGUGGUGACAAAAUUCCUCAGCAUUUGUUUGUCUGGAAAGGAUUUUAUUUCUCCUACACUUAUGAAGCUAAGUUUGGCUACAUAUGAAAUUCUGGGUUGAAAAUUCCUUUCUUUAAGAAUGUUGAAUAUUGUCUCCCACUCUCUUCUAGCUUAGCAUUUCUGCAGAGAGAUCCGCUCUUAGUCUGAUGUGCUUCCUUUUGUGGGUAACCCAACCAUUCUCUCUGUCUGCCCUUAACAUUUUUUCCUUCAUUUCAACCUUGGUGAAUCUGAUGAUUAUGUGUCUUGGGGUUGCUCUUCUCGAAGAAUAUCUCUGUGGUGUUCUCUGUAUUUCCUGAACUUGAAUGUUGGCCUGUCUUGCUAGGUUGGGGAAUUUCUCCUGGAUAAUACCUGAAGUGUGUUUUCCAACAUGGUUCCAUUCUCCCUGUCACUUUCAGUUAAACCAAUCAAAUGUAGGUUUGGUCUUUUCAGAUAGUCCCAUAUUUCUUGGAGGCUAUGUUCAUUCCUUUUUGUUCUUUUUUCUCUAAUCUUGUCUCCACACUGUAUUUCAUUAAGUUGAUCUUCAAUCUCUGGUGUCAUUUCUUCCACUUGAUAAUUCAGCUAUUGAUAAUCAUGUAUGCUUCACGAAGUUCUCAUGCUGUGUUUUUCAACUCCAUCUGGUCAUUUAUUUUCUUCUCUAAACUGGUUAUUCUAGUUAGCAAUUCCUCUAACCUUUCAUCAAAGUUCUUAGCUUCCUUGCAUUGGGUUAGAACAUGCUCCUUUAGCUUGGAGGAGUUUGUUAUUGCCCACCUUCUGAAGCCUACUUCUGACAAUUGAUCAAACUCAUUCUCCAUCCAAUUUCGUACCCUUGCUGGCAAGGAGUUGUGAUCCUUUGGAGGAGAAGAGGCAUUCUGUUUUUUGGAAUUUUCAGCCUGUUUGUGCUGGUUUUUCCUCAUCUUCUUGGAUUUAUCUACCUUUGGUCUUUGCUUUUGGUGACCUUCAGAUGGAGUUUUUGCGUGGUCAUCCUUUUUGUUGAUGUUGAUGCUAUUUCUUUCUGUUUGUUAGUUUUUCUUCUAACAGUCAGGCCCCUCUUCUGCAGGUCUGCUGGAGUUUUCUGGGGGUCCACUCCAGAUCUUGUUUACCUGGGUAUCACCAGCAGAGGCUGCAGAACAGCAAAGAUUCCUGCCUGCUCCUUCCUCUGGAAGCUUCGUUCCAGAGGGACGCCUGCCAGAUGCCAGCUGGAUCUCUCCUGUAUGGGGUGUCUGUUGACCCCUGCUGGGAGGUGUCUCCUUGUCAGGAGGCACUGGGGUCAGGGACUCACUUGAGGAGGCAGUCUGUUCCUUAGCAGAGCUCAAGCGCUGUGCUGGGAUAUCCAUUGCUCUCUUCAGAGCUGGCAGGCAGGAAUGUUUAAAUCUGCUGAAGCUGCACCCACAGCUGCCCCUUCCCCCAGGUGCUCUGUCUCAGGGAGAUGAGAGUUUCGACUAUAUGCUCUGACUGGAGCUGCUGCCUUUCUUUCAGAGAUGCCCUGCCCAGAGAGGAGGAAUCUAGAGAGGCAGUCUGGCUAUAGUGGCUUUGCUGAGCUGUGGUGGGCUCUGCCCAGUCCAAACUUCCAGGUGGUUUUGUUUACACUAUGAGGGGAAGACCGCCUACUCAAGCCUCAGUAAUGGUAGAUGCCCCUACUCCCACCGAGCUCGAGCAUCCCAGGUCCACUUCAGACUGCUGUGCUGGCAGCGAGAAUUUCAAGCCAGUGGAUUUUAGCUUGCUGGGCUCUGUCAGAGUGGGAUCUGCUGAGCAAGACCACUUGGCUCCCUGCCUUCAGCCUCCUUUCCACUGGUAAGGGUCUAUCUUGCUGGUGUUCCAGGAGCCACUGGAAUAUGAAAAAACAAACAAACAAACAAACAAAAAAACUCCUGUGGUUAACUUGGUGUCUGCCCAAACAGCCACCUAGUUUUAUGCUUGAAACCCAGGGCCUUUGUGGUGUAGGCACCUGAGGGAAUCUCCUGGUCUGCAGGUUGUGAAGACUGUGGGAAAAGUGUAGUAUCUGGGCCGGAUAGCACCAUUCCUCACUGCACAGUUCCUCACAGCUUCCCUUGGCUAGGGAUAGGAUUUCCUCGACCUCUUGCACUUCCCGGGUGAGGCGACACCUCACCCUGCUUCUGCUCGCCCUCUGUGGGCUGUACCACCUGUCUAACCAGCCCCAAUGAGAUGAACCGGGUACCUCAGUUGGAAAUGCAGAAAUCACUUGCCUUCUGUGUUGGUCUUGCUGGGAGCUGCAGACAGGAGCUGUUGCUAUUAGGCCAUCUUGCCCAGGAAACCAAGGUUAGUAUUGUUAUGUGUGAAUUUGAUCUGUCAUCAUGGUGUUAGCUGGUUAUUUUGCACACUUGCUAAUGUAGUUGCUUCAUAGUGUCACUGAUCUGUGUACUUCAGUGUGUUUUUAUAGUGGCUGGUAACAGGUUUUCCUUUUCAUAUUUUGUGCUUCCUCCAGGAGCUUUUGCAAGGCAGGGCUGUUGGUGACAAAUUCCCUCAGCAUUUGCUUGUCUGAAAAGGAUCUUAUUUCUUUGCUUAGGAGGCUUAGUUUGGCUAGAUAUAAAAUUCUGAGUUGAAAAUUAUUUUCUUUAAGAAUGUUGAAUAUUGGCUCCUAAUCUCUUCUGACUUGUAGGGUUUCCACUGAGAUGUCUGCUGCUAGUCUGAUGGACUUCCCUUGGUAGGUGAUCUGGCCUUUCUCUCUGGCUGCCCUUAACAUUUUUUCUUUUAUUUCGACCUUGGAGAAUCUGAUGAUUAUGUGUCUUGAGUUGAUUUUCUUGUGGAGUAUCUUAUUGGGGUUAUCUGCAUUUCCUGUAUCUGAAUGUUGGCCUGUCUUGCUAGGUUGGGGAAGUUCUCCUGGUUAAUAUCCUGAGGUAUGUUUUCCAACUUGGUUCCAUUCUCCUCAUCUCUUUCAGGUACCCCAGUCAAUUGUAGGUUCAUUCUCUUCACAUAAUCCCAUAUUUCUUGCAGGUUUUGUUCAUUCCUUUUCAUUCAUUUUUCCCUAUUCUUGUCUGCCUGUCUUAUUUCAGAAAGGUAGUCUUCCAGCUCUGAUAUUCUUUCCUAUGCUUAGUCUAUUCUGCUAUUGAUACUUGUGAUUGCAUUGUACUCAUGUUGUGUUUUUCAGCUCCAUCAAGUUGGUUACAUUCCUCUCUAAACUGGCUGUUCUGGCUAUUUGUUCAUGUAUUGUUUUCUGUGAUUUUUGGCUUCUUUGCAUUGGGUUAGAACAUGCUCCUUUAGCUCUCAGCGAAGUUCAUUAUUACUCACCUUCUGAGGCUUACUUCUGUCAAUAAGUCAUCUCGGCCUCAGCCCAGUUCUGCGCCCUUGUUGGAAAGGUGUUGUGGUCAUUUAGAGGAGAAGAGGAGCUCUGGUUUUUUGAGUUUUCAGCAUUUUUUUGGUUGAUUCUUUCUCAUGUUUGUGGGCUUAUCUACUUUUGAUAUUUGAGGUUGCUGACCUUUGAAUGGGAUUUUGUGGGAUCUUUCUUUGUGGAUAUUGCUGGGAUUUUGUUUGUUUUUCUUUUAAUAGUCAGGCCACUCUUCCGCAGGGCUGCUGUGGUUUGCUGGCGGUCUGCUCCAGACCCUAGUUGCCUUGGUUUUCCCCAUACCUGGAGGUAUCACCAGUGAAGGCUAUGAAACAGCAAAGAUGGCAGCCUGCUCCUUCCUCUGGAAGCUCCAUCCUGGGAGGGUGCUGACCUAUUGCUGGUUUGAGCAUGCCCGUAGUAGGUGGCUGGAGACACCUAUUGGGAGGUCUCACCCAGUCAGGAGGAACAGGAUCAGGAACAUGCUUAAAGAAUCAGUCUGGCUGCUUUUUGGUAGAGCAGGUGUGCUGCACUGAGGGGGACCCUUACUCAUCCAGACCAUUUGGGUUCUCCACAGCUAGCAGGCUGGAACUGCUGAGUCUACCAAACUACAGAGAUGGCAGCCACCCCUUACCCCAUGAGCUCCAUCCCAAGGAGAAAUCAGAGCUGUCUGUAUAACCCUGGCUGAAGUGGCUGAAGCCCUUGCAGGGAGGUCCCUCCAAGUAAGGAGGAAUGGAUCAGGGCCCUGCUUAAAGAAACAGUCUGGCUAACAGCUGACAAGGCAAUUGUGCUGUGUUGUGGGGGACCCUUCCUCGUCUGGACAGCUAGGAUUCUCCAGUGCUGGCAGGCUGAAAUGGCUGAGUCUACUGACCUACAGAGAUGGCAGUCACCCCUCCCCUGGGAACUUGGUCCUGCGUCAGUCAGACUCCAGCCUGUGCCACUGGCUGGCUGGAAUUCCAAGCCAGUGGGUCUUAAUUUGUGAGGUGCUGUGAAAGUGGGACCCACAGAACAAUGCUGAUUGGCUCCCUAGAUUCAGCCCUCUUCCUAGGGAUAUGAACAGACAGAUCUCCCACCUUGCUGGGGAUCCUGGGGCUGAAAUAUGUAAAAUUCCUGGGUCUCUCUGUGUGCCUGAGCAGCUGCUCUGCCUAGACUCCACACAGCUCUGUUUAUCAGACCCAAGGCCCUGAGGGCAUGGGCUCGUGAGGGGAUUUCCUGAUCCACAGGUUGCAAGGAUCCACGGGAGAAGCAUGAUUUCCUGGGCAGGGUCAUACAAUCACUUACUGCUUCAUACAGUCACUACCUGGCUGGGGUGGGGGUUCCUUUGCCUCUGUGCUGCUCCCAAGUAGGCUAUCUGUUGCCCCACCCUGCUUUUCUUCGUUCUUCGUGGGUUGUUUGCCUAGUCAGUCCCAGUGCAAGAACCUGGAUAUUUCAGUUGAAGGUGCUGACUGAAUUCACUUGCUCCUUUCAUUCCUCUCUGUAAGUGCCUUGGACCGCAGUUGCAUCUAAUCGGCCGUCUUGGCCCUGACCCACUAAUUUUCUUAGUGUGUUUUUUGUUGAACAGAGAUUUUUAUUUUGAUGAAGUCCAAACUUAUCAGGUUUUAUGUUUUUGUUUGUUUGUUUCUUGGCUAGUCCUUUUUCUGUCCUGUGAAAAAAUCUUGGCCUAUCUCGAGGUUAAACUUAUUUUUUUCCUGUCUUCUUCUAGUCUUAUAACUUACAUUUCAGAUUAUUAUCUAUUUUGAUCUUUUUCUUGUAAAAAGGAAAAAUAUGGAUGAAGAUUGAUUUUUUUUUUCCAUAGAGGUAUUCAAUUGCUUUAGCACUGUUUGUUGAAAAGACUAUUCUUUCUCCUAUUGAAUUGCUUUGCUACCCUUGGAGAAAAUCAGUUAACUCUUUAAGUGUGGAUCUAUAUCUGAGCUCUCUUCUCUUACGCAUUAAACCAUUUGCUACUGUUCUACAGGUUUCUGAGCUUCUAUUUAUUUUUCAUCAAUUGUCUUUCUGUCUUGUCUUCAGAUUGGACUUUUUUUAUUAAUCUGUCUUAAAGUCCCAUGAUAUUUUCUUCUUUGGUGUCUAGUCUGCUUUCAAGCCCAUCCAGUGAAUUUUUAAUUUCAGAUAUUGUAUUUUUCCAUUCCGAAGUCUUCAUUUGUUUGUUCUAGAUAGUUUCCAUUUCUCUAUUGAGAUUUCCUAGUGGUUCCUUUCAUUAUGUUUAUGUUUUACUUUGUAUUCUUAAACAUACAUGCCUUAAUGCUACAUUCUAAUACAUAAUUUCUGUGAUUUGUAAGUCUCAUUAUUAUGGAUAGAUUUUCCUCUGUAUUGUAGGCCACCUUUUCCUGCUUAUUUAUAUAUGUAGUAAUUUUGUAUUGAAUGCCAUCAAUUUUGUUCUCUUUUGUAAAGAGGAUUGAACUUUGUUAUGGCAGGUAGUUAAUUUACUUGUGCAUCCACUUGAUCCUUUAGAGGACUAUUUAUAAGCUUUAAUAUGGCAGGUCUAGUCUGGGGCUGGAAUAGCCUACUUAUUAGAUUUGGCCUUUCUUGUGUGUCAAUUGCAUGUCUGCAGGUUUAUUUAAGUGUCUCACUUGAGCUAGGCAGAAACCCAACAUUUCCAAGCCCUGUGCAAGCUCUGGAAUCCCCUUUCAACUCAUAGUUUUUCUUGGCCUUCCACUGCCUUAUUUUGUACUUGCAUUGCUUAAUCUUUGGCCAAAGACUCAAGGGAACCAAAUUCAGAUUUCUAGAUUUUCUUCUUUUUACAGUUCUCUCCUUUUCCCCAUGCUUCAUAUUUCAGCCACUUCUGCAGCUAUUAUUUUUCUCUUUAUUUUAUUUUGUCUUAUAAUAAAAUUGUGUGGAUUCAAUUACGAUCCUUCUCCAUUGCUUAAUUUAAGUAAAAAUAGUUUUUCUAUACAUUCUGAAUGUAGGAAUGGAUUAGGUUAACAUUUUUGCUGGUGUGAUCUAGGACUGUCUUUGCUAUUUUUUCUGGAAGUGAUAAAAUAUAUAUUCUCUUACUUUUCAAAGUCUGCUGCCUCCUGUCCUCCUUCCCAUUUUAUCCAGAUCUUCUCUUUUCCCCACCCACUACUGUCCCUGUCUUGCCCAAUGUGGGUUAUAUUCCAAGCAGUUUCUGCUAAGUGUGACCUUGUCCCAAUAGGAGCCUCAGAUGUCAUAGUUUUUAAAGUCCUUAGGGCCAUACAAUCCUAACAGUUCAGAACUUACGAUAACUGUCUUAUCCUGUCCCUGUGAACUGGACUCUAAAAGUGUACAUUUUAGAUUCUGUUCUCAGAUUGUCCCCUGGCAAUUUCCAGUGAGUACCUGUUGGUGAUUUUGAGGUUCUUCUAUUCUCAGGGCCAUCUUGUUGCCUUUCCUCAGCUUUCUCUUGCACAGACACUGAUGGAUCUUAUAAAAUGGGCUAUUUGUCACCACUUGUUUAUAUUUUAGGUUCUUGAGAAUAUUUUAUUGCCUAGUUUAGUUGUAGAUAUUGUGCUUGAGUUUUUGCUUUCAUUAUCCUACUUGUUCUUUCUGUUUUAUUAAUGAUUCAGGGAGAUUCACUGCCAAUACUGCCAGCCUAAAAUAUUCCUUUAUUUCUUACUAAACAUUAUGUCAUCUUUGUCAUGAAGAGGAAGACGUACUUCAAUUCAUGCAUUUCUUAAACUUUAAAAAUCACUAAUGUAGCAUUAAUUGAUUUAAAAAUUCUACACAGGAUUAGGGAUAAAAAUUGUUUACUUAGAGUGCUGACUAAAAAUUAUAAAUGCACAUUCUGUAAAAGGGCUUGGAUUUGUAUAGUGAAGAAUUAACUUUACCCAAAGAGAGCUCUGGCUUUUGCUUUUGGCUACUGGGAGGAGAUCUCUAGGCCCCAGGAAUGUCCUGCUUGAUGUGAAUGUUUUUGUUUGCCUGGGAGCUUUUACCAGUGAACAGUCCGACAGUGUGAUUUAUGAUGAAGAUUUUGGAACAUACUACCUCAGCUCUAACAUCCAGAGGAACUAGAGGCUAAAGGCAUUAGCCUAAGCCUCCAGGAUGGGCUGGAGCCUAAAGAUCAGCCUCAUGAGCAGUACAUGCUCAAGCUCCAGUAAAACUCUGGACACCAAAGGCUCAAAUGAGAUUUCCUGAUGACAGUACUCUGUGUAUUGUCAGGUAUAAACUGGCUGCGAGGGUAAUGCAUCCCUGAAGAUGAUGGAAGUUGUGUGUUUGGACCUUUUCAUACCUUGCUCUAUGUGACUCUAUAUGACUCUCCCUUUCGUUGGUUCUGAUGUGUAUCUUUUUGCUAUAACACAAUUGUCCUCACAAGUAUAGCGCCUUCUGGGGUUCUGUGAGUUUUUCUAGUGAAUUAUCAAAACUGAGGGGGUAGUGGGAACCCCUGACUUUGUAGCCAACUGAUCAGAAGUAAAGGAGGCUUGGUGCUAUGGUUUGAAUGUGUCCCCUCCAAAACUCAGGUGUUGGCAAUGUGAUGUGAUAGUAUUAAUAGGUAGAGUCUUUAAGAGGUGAUUAGGCCACGAGGGUUCCUCCCUUGUGAAUGCGAUUAAGGCCCCUGUAAAAGCAACUUCACUCAUUGUUCAGUUGGUUUGCCCAUUCACCUCUGCCAUGUGAGGACAGUGUUCCUCCCCUCCAGAGGAUGUAGCAACAAGAUGCCAUCUUGAAAGCAGAAGAGUAGCCCAUACCAGACAACCAAACAGCCCAAGCCUUGAAGUUGAAAUUCCUGGAGCCCAGUGAAAAUAAAUAUCUAUUUUUUAUAAAUUACCUAGUCUCAGAUAUUUUGUUAGAGCAGCACAAAAUGGACUGCAACAACUGGGGACCCCAGACUUGUGGCUGGUGUAUAAAGUGAAGGCAUGCUUGUGGAGGACUGUGCCCUUUACCUAUGAAGUUUGGCCCAACUCUCCCAGGCAGGAGGAAUCAUGGCAUUUCAUGAAAUGGUUCGGUAUCAAUAUACUACAUAAAUAAGCACAGAUUUAUUACAGAGCAACACAAUUAAUUAAGAAAGUGCACACUAAAAUGGUAUGGUAUUAUUGGAAGUAGAAAUAUGCAAGAAUGAGAGAGAAUUAAAACCACAUAGGAAUUGAGGUAGGAUUUAUUGCUAGUUUGAUAACAUUGGUGCUAUGACAAUAGACUGUUCAAAUUCUUCCCUGCCACUUAUCCCCACAGGGUUCAUGAUGUAUCUCUAACAAUAAGGAGCAGUAGAAAAUGGGGAAUCAAAUAAUAAUCAACUGCUACCGUAAUGCAGAUCUGAGGUAAAUAAGAGGGUCAUUAGGUCAGCAACUAAAUAGCUGCCUAGAAAUAGGAUGAGAGGGGAGGAGGCAGGUCUUGUUUACUCUGUUUAGCAUGUGGAAAAAAGAAAGAAGAAAGUACAAUAGUAAAAGGAGAGCCUGGGCAAACUGAUGUGUGCCUAUAGUCCCAGCUACUUGGGAGGUUGAGGUGGGUGGAUUGCUUGAGCCCAGGAAUUGGGGUCCAGCCUGGUCAACAUAGUGAGACCCCGUCUCUUAAAAAAAGUAAAGGGAUACAAUUAGAUUCAAGAGAAGGGUUUACAUUUCAUCACUGAUGUGGGGGGAUUAUUUUUCUCUUUCCUAUUAAACUGAACAAAGGAAAAAAAUUCUCCCCUUUCUGCUGGCAGUUAUCUAGCAGAUAACAAUUUUAUGACAAGCAGUGAAGCAAAGCUGAGACAUGGAAAGAACCUGAAUCCUUGGUGACAUGAUUGAGUUGCUGACUCAACCAGUUAUGAAGCCCAUUCAUCUCUGGACUUCUUGUUAUGUGAAUUAAGAAACGUUUUUAUUGUUUGGAAUCAAAGUCAAGGAAUACAUAUCCUGUACCCAUGAAUUUUAAGUUAUUGUCAACCCAUUCAUUAGUAAUCAUAGCCAGUCUUUUUCUUGGUCCACUGAGUUAUGUUUUCCUCUAAAUAGAGUUCUCUUUUCCCUCUUUGGCAAGGUGGCAGGUCACAGCCAGACCUACUGUACUAAAAACUCAAGCAGACUCAAUGAUAUAAUAAGAGCUAGGAUAUGGAAGCAUAUAUGCUCUGGCACAGUACAGAUUUUCUUUUUCUUUUUUCUUUUCUUUUUUUUAUUUUUAUUUUUAUUUAUUUAUUUUUUUUUUUUGAGACAGAGUCUCACCUGUUGCCCAGGCUGGAGUGCAGUGGCGUGAUCUCAGCUCACUGCAACUUCCACCUCCCAGGAUCAAGCAAUUCUCCUGCCUCAGCCUCCCAAGUAGCUGGGAUUACAGGUGCCUGCCACCAUGCCCAGCAAUUUUUUUUGUAUUUUUAGUAAAGACGGGGUUUCGCCAUGUUGGCUAGGCUGGUCUCAAACUCCUGACCUCAGGUGAUCCACCCACCUUGGCCUCCCAAAGCACAGAUUUUCCCAUAUGAAAAUAAUGUGCCUCCUAACCAGCCCCAGUAGCAUAAAAGAUACCAACUGGUGGGUCCACGUCUACCAGCCUGGAAGAUUUUAUUUCAUUUGGAGCCACACUCAUCAAUAAACUUCAGGUGUACUGCCAUAAAAAAUAUUAGGAGGUACCAGAGAGGCAUCUACUAACUUGCAUGCUUCAUCUCAUAUAAUUUUGCUGGUUUGGUAAUUUACAAAGUGAAAGUCACUUUGGACUAAAUCCAAGUUGUCAUUCUUAUCAAUAUUUGAACUUGGAACAUGUGUUCUGUUUUAGCGCUUUGCUUUUUUACUAACGAAGUUAGUGGCUGUGGGUGUGGAGGAUGGCUGCAUGAUUCUCAAGGCAGGUAUUCUUUUUGUUCUGAUAUACUUCAAAAGACACAUGGCUUAUCUUUGUACCAUAUCCAACACUGUUUUAGUCUUCAGUUUUAGGAUUGGUUAUUUUCUACCUAAAGGAAUGGGACUGAGCACAGGGAUAGAAAUAAAAGAAAUAGGAAGCAGGGAUGAGCAGUAAGAGAUGUUCCAAUGGUAUACUUCUUUAUCAGAACUAUUCUAAUAUUUUGUUAAAUAUGCUAUACCAGGAUUCAAUCCACCUAACUGGGUGAUGUAAACUGUUCCUGGGUGGAGGAAAAAAGCUGAAGUCCACAAUUCAGUGACUAGUCCUAAAACCUUUACUUCCCUCACAGAGAAUCAGACCCAUAUUUACUUCUCCCUUUCCCCCAGAAGGUAUUUCUAUCGAUCCCAAUAUGAAGAUUGCAAAGGUAAGGACCCCCACUCAGUUUGCAUCUCUUGGAAUUUGGCUAUAUUACUGAGAUUUAUUAGGAUUUUUUUUUUUUUUUUACUUACUAGUAUGCUUUCUGAGAUGUUAUAAGAUCAGGCACUAUUUCUGUUGACUUUGCCAUUCUACCGAAGAUCUUUAUAUUUUCUUAUUAUUCUAACAUUUCAAUUGAGGAGGAUAGACUUAAAGACUAAUAACCAUGACAGUUUCAGCCUCUGAUAUUUCUAGAGGCAAAUAUUUCCUUAUUACUUUGUGAGAAAAACCUUUCGUUAAUGGGUGUCUUUAAUUACAAGAAACUUAUUCCCUGUAUUGCGUUAAUAGUUGCCUUCCCAAAACUUCCCUCUGGAACAAUGCAUAAUAAAUCUACUUCAUUUUCCAGAGGACUAGAUUUAAAUGUAUAAAGAGUUAUGUAUUCUUCUUUCUGGGCAUUAUGAACAUAUCUAGUAACUUUAUGUGUUCCUUUGAAUACUUCUAGGAUUUAAAAGUUUAUAGACAUCAUCUAGAUAACUUCAUAAUCACACAAGGAGGUAAGUGAGGCUCAAAACAGUUGAUGAGGGAAAGCUCUACUUUAAAUGCCAAUUAAUUAAUGUGGGAGAAAUGACAGAAUUAGGACAAUAGCAUUUCACAAAUUCUAUUUAACUUAUUGAUUCAGACAAGAUUUAUCAAGGUUAAAAUCCUUAGGUAAAUGGAUGUUGGGACACUGGACCUUCAUUUUGUGCCCAGCUGAUAUUACACAGAAUAAUUUCUAAUCACAAGAGAUAAAAUAAAAUUACACAAUAGCAGGUUCAGAUUGUCGUUACUCCAGAGAAUGUCAAUCUUAUCAAAUUAAUGGUAAAUGUACUAGAAAUUCUGUGUCUUCUGAUGUGAUAAAACAUGAAGUACACAAUAUCAUCUAUGAUAUUCUUUUCACAGUGUUUCACCUGAAUUCAUCAAGCCUUUAAAAUCACUUCCACAGGAGAUGAAGUAACAGGACACAAUUGAACAAAUUCUUAAAAGAUAGAAUAUUCCAGGGACCAACUGGCCUUUGGUUUUCAAAAUUCAUUUUUAAAAAAAGACUGUUAAAAGAUUAAACAACAGGCACACACACACACAAUUCGAAAGAUAUGCACUAAGGUGUUAACAAUGGCAAUCUCUGGAUGGUGGUAUGUGACAUUCUUUUUUUCUUUUGUCUAUAUUUUUUAUUUUUCUACAAUGCACAUGUAUUGUUUCUCUAAGUAUCAUUAAGAAAAUUAAUAGUCAACCUGGCAAAAUAGUUUGCCCAAUCUGUAUGAGAUGUUUUUCAGACUCCCACCAUAUUUGAUGUGUUCCCAUGGUUGAACUCUUGUUCGCUAUUGUCCUCCCUGAAUUGUGAAGCCUGCUAUUUGGCAGUAUGCCUCAGAUACAAUCUUACUUACCUGAGGUAAAAUUUCUGACCUGGCCAUUUUAAAGAUUCUUAAUAAUGUUCAAUUAUAAAGGCAAUUGAAGACUACACUGCCUUUUUGGAAGUUCAAUAACAUGGUUAGCUGUUUAGAAUAUAGUCUGUUGACUAUUUAGAAUCGAUGUUAAGAACAUAGGCUCUGGAGAUCUCAGGAAUAUUGCUGAAACUUAUUUAAACCUUAAUUUUCUUAUCUGCAAAGUGAAGAAAAUACCAGAACCUAUUUCAAAGGGUUGUUGUAAAGGUUAAAUGAGAUAACACAGCAAAAUACUUGAGUAUAAUGCUUAGCUCACAGUAUAUAAAAUAAAUUUGAGCAAUUAUAAUAAUUAUUAUCGUGUUCAUAUAAAAUAUCAGAAUAAACAUUGUAUCAUUUAUACUCCCUCCAAUACCUCAAAAUUAAUUUGACUAAAAGUGUUAUAUUUAGCCAGCUUCUUGGUGAAAUAUCUUUUAAUCAAAAGAAUAGGACUAAAUAAGUAAUUUUCUUAAUCUGGUAACUAUAGAUAGCACUGUAUCUGUUUUUUAAUUCCAUAACAAAUUCUUUAAGUAACUCAUUAACAUUAAAUCUUUCGAGUGUUUAGGACCUGUGCGGUCCCAAAAAGCACCCACUUAAGUGGAAUAACCCCAAGAACAUAGGAUAAAGUUUCUGGGAUUUUCAUAGUACAUUGACAUUCCUUGAGAAUACACAACAUUUAUUGAGGUACCUGAAUAACUGAAGGCCCCGAGGAGCUAAUCAGAACCACACAAUCUACUCUGUGUAGGGUGAAUAUAUUCACUACUAGCUAGUGGAAUCAUGGUCCUCAAAUGCAGGAGGUGAUAAUAUCAGAAUUUUAUGAGAACAUCCAUUAAACUGAACACAUAGACAGUUAUCUAUCUGAGAGGUAAAGUGAUGGAGAGUAAGUUUAAAAUAUUUGAUGUCCCUCCAAACCCCCCAGUAGCCCAAGAACUGAAAAAUAGAAGCUGAAUAACUUUAUGGACCUGCCUGCUUCUGCUGUGCCACUCUGCAGCAGAACUUUAAAGCAAAAAAUUUCUUGGAGUUUUACACUGGAUAUAUUAAUGAAAUCACUAUUUUUGUUGCAUAUUAAACAAGAUUCCUUCCACUGCAAGUACAGAAACUCAAGAAAUUUAAACAAUAAUGAAGUGUAUUGACUCAACACUGAGUCUAGAAGUAGAACAGACUUCAGAGUUGGCUUAGUCUGGCAAGCACUAGCUUUCUUUCCCAAAGCUGGUUCUUAGGCUCUGUUCUCCUCUGUUGGCUUCACAAAAUGGCAGUCCCAGCUUCACUGGUGCGUAACUUCUUCCAACAGCUCUCACUUAAAGGUAAAGAAACAUUUUCCAGAAACUCUCAACAAGUUUUCCUUGACGUCACUAGCCAGUACUGUGUCUUAUUCCUCAUUCCUGAACCAAUCAUUAGCAAAGGAAUAAGAUUACUCCUAAGACACAUAGCUUCUGGUAAGGGAGCCGUGGAUGUAUAAAUGAAAAUGGGGUGCUCUUGGGAAGAGGGAAAUAAAUAUUGGGUGGGUAAUCAACAAGGCGUCAUCAAAAAACUUUCUGGGGGUUGAAUGAAGCAGGAAAAUUUUUUUUUCAGAAUAGUUUUUCAUACAAUACUUGGCUUUUAAACAGUUGAGAAAUAAAAGAAUCCACAUCUUUUCUCAUUUGAUUUCCCCCUUGCUGAAAUUACAAUAAUUUUUUUUUUUUUGAGAUGGAGUCUCUGUCACCCAGGCUGGAGUUCAGUGGCACAAUCUCAGCUCACUGCAACCUCUGCCUCCUGGGUUCAAGCGAUUCUCCUGCCUCAGCCUCCCCAGUAGCUGGGAUUACAAGCACCCGCCAUCACGCCUGGCUAAUUUUUGUAUUUUUAGUACAGAUGGGGUUUCACCAUAUUGGCCAGGUUGGUCUCAAACUCCUGACCUCAGGUGAUCCGCCCACCUUGGCCUCCCAAAAUGCUGGGAUUACAGGCGUGAGCCACUGCACCCUGCCUACAGUAAUAAUUUUGAGUGAGAAUAACAAUAUUUUGUGUAUAGACUAUCUCCAGCCAGUUUGUAGAAUUCUCAAACGGCUCUGAACACUUUCAGGUUGUUUGGAGUUUGGAAAAACCUAAGUGGUGAUUUUCCCUGAAAUUUUAGGAUGUGAAAUUUUUUUAAAGUGGAAAUGCAAUCUGUAUAUAAUAACGUAGACUUCAAAAUGUUGUUAUGUAACAGGUAUUUGAUGUUUGACAAGUUUUUGACACUCUUUAAUGAGCCAGUUUACAUCUUUAAUCUUAUAAAUAAAUUUACCAAGUACAAAUCUGAGCAAUAAGUAUGGUAAGUUCGGCAUUUUAUCUUUAAAGGGGUGGAAUGGCAUCUAAAUUCAGAAAACCACUUAAUUUUCUUAAAGUGAAAACAUAUCCACACGCCUUAGUGAUUUCAGUCUCAGUCCUUUUUCUUUGACUUUCUUUUUUUUUUAAACCAAAUUAACCACCAUUUUUUUUCUAUUAUUAGGGAUUUCUAAGUUAUUGUUUAUGGAGAAAUGACUUGAGCUCAGGAGACCUGGAUACAAGUCUUAAACUAGUGAUGAGGUCUUAGGAAAGCCAUUUUGCCUCUCCAAAUUAUAGUUUUCUUUUCAGCUUGUUAGACUCAAUGAAUCAUUUAUUCAUUCAUUUAAUGAACAUCUACUGACUGCCUAUUGCGGUUUGGAGAAUUAAAAAAUAAUAAUAAUAACACUUUGUCCUUGCUUUCAAGGAGUUCAUAGUAAAGUGACACAGGUGGUACAUAGCACAAGGAACUUUUCUGAGUUAAGUACAGCGAUGGAGAUGUGAAUGGGGUCUUUUGGAAAUAUCUAGAAGGGAUACUUAAGUCAACUUCAGGUUGGAGAUGAAUGAAGGGAAAGUUUCCCUGGAGAUCAUGAUAUUUGAGCUGAGGAUGAAUAGGCAUUAGCUAGCUAAAGGCUGGUUGGGGAGGAGUUGAAAAAAUUCACAAAGGGAAGAUAGUAUGAACAAAGGUAUGAAGACACAGCCUGGUAUAAAGGGAUAUUGUAAACAAUUCAUGUUAUUGGAGAAAAAAUUGUGAAGCAGAGAGUAGGAAAGAAGAAUGUUGGAGAGGUGUGCAGGAACCAGAAGGCUUUGUGAGACUUUUUUCCCGGUAGGUGAUAAUUCAAUAAAAGAUGUUAUUUAAGGGUCAGAGGGAAACACAUCAAGUUUUCCUGAUAUCUCAUUCUAGCCUUCUUUAAUUUGAUUUAAUUUAUCUUUAACAUUUAAAACAGUAUGAAGGAAGUGGUCUAUAAGGUUUAUCCUAUAAUAUUCUAGCUUCCCAACCUCACUACCAUGAAAUCAUUUUUAGUAUGGUGCUAGGAUAUUUAUUGAAUAUGAGCUUUUUUUUCCCUUUACUUAACUGAAUGAAAAAGAGCUGUGAAGCUUUUUUUGUUUCCAGGAAACACAAUUGUUUUGAAUUAGUAGAGUGUUUGUCGAAGGAGUUCAGCAAAGCCCCACUAUUACCCUGGAGUAUGUAACUCUCAGUAUAGUUUUCUUUCUAUUUUCAUAAGGUUAACUGUUUCUCCAUAUAAAACAAGCUUAAUAACUAGCAGGGUGAUCCUUUGCCUUUGCAUCCUCUGUUACAUAUAAAACUUUUGAUAUUAAAAAUGAUUUUUCUCCUCCAUCAUUUCCUUCUCCUCCUUCCCUUCCUCCCCCUCCUCCUUCUUUCACUUAUAAAAGUCUCCUCUUAAGAUAAAAAUUCUAGAAAUGAGAUUCAUUAAGCUAUUAUCAGAUAAUGGGAGCAUAAGUUUUCUGACCAUUAGAUGCCCAUUGAAAAGGGAAAUAUGCUUACAGUCCAAGGUCAAGUGACCAGAGGUGGCGAAGGGCCUGUAUGUCUGAGAAGAAAGGGCCAAAUAUACACUCUGCCUCUUCACUGGAGAGAGCCACUUUCAACCAACAUGGUUUUUUUCUGGUAAAGCAAGCCAAUGUUAAGAACUACAUAAUGCUUAACAAAAUAAUUGAAGGGUCUAUUAUUCAAAAGGGGAAAGACUAAAGUCACUAAAUAGAAGAACAUUUCCUCAAUAUGACUGUAGGCAAUAUUCUCUUAGAAAAUAAUGAAAUGUUUGUCUUGGUGAUAUGGUUACCUUUCUUAAGUGAAUAGGAGAAGUAUUUUGCAUCUCUCUGUGAUGGGGAAACUGACCUGAAAUUGGAGCAUUCAUAGUCAUCUUCAUCCUUGAUUAUGGGAUGAGUGUCCACAUCCCAACUCUUUCUCUUUUUCUUGAAUGGACAGAUAAGAGAUUCCGUAAGUCCUGGCAAAGAGGGGAACACAUCUCUCUCAGAACUUCCCAGGAGGGAAGGUGGAGUCACUGAGGAACUUGAAGGUUUGAUUAUGGAGGUUUGAACAAAGAGAGAGAAGGGUGAGGGCUGUUUAUAAGGUAGUGAGGGAGAAAGCAUAAGUUAGGAGCAUCUUUCUCAUGAGGCUUAAGUCCGGAAGUGCUUUCCCAGGUGCUGUAUAAAUGAAUGGUGAAGUCAAAGAGAAUUACUGUAACUUCUAUUCCUCCUCAUACCCUACAAGGCUGUCUUUGUGGAUGUGCAACCUACAUAGUUGCACAGAACACAUUAUCAGAAAGGUCCUGCACUUGGUUUAAUAUUCUACUCUUACUGUCUUGAAAUUGUUACUUUUUUCUUUGAAUUUAUAUUUUUUAAAUGAAGUGCAAUAAGAUGAUGGAGCCUGAACACAGGAUAUGGCAAUAAGCAUGUGUGCUGCCAUUUUUGCCACCCCACUCCCACAUAAUGUUCAGUAUGCCCCAUAAGCACAGAAUUUCUCUGGACCCAUGAUGGGUGGGAAUGCAGUGAGACUCAAAGCAAGUACAAGGUGAGUUUGUUACAUCUAUGUCUGACUAAGCAGAAACUGACAGCUGCAAGAGGCCAGUGUUUGAACUAGAACGUGCUUUGAAUGCAGAAAUAAGGCAAUGGUGAAGAGACAACCUAUGUAAUAGGAAAAAGUAUUUGCAAACCAUACAAUUGAUAAGGGAUUAAUAUCAAAAAUAUAUAAGGGACUCAAGAAUGCAAACAAUUCAAUAGCAAGAAAACAAAUAACCCAAUUUAAAAAUGGGCAAAGGAUCUGAAUAAACAUUUAAAAAAACCAUACAUAUGGCAAACAGGUAUAUGCAAAAAAGCUCAAUGUCAUUAAUCAUCAGAGAAAUGCAAAUUAAAAUCGCAGAGAUAUCCCCUCACACCUAUCAGAACAGCUACUAUCAGAAAGAUGAAAGACAAGUGUUGAUAAGGAUGUGCAGAAUAGGGAACCUUUGUACACUGUUCGGGGGAAUGUAAAUUAGUGCAGCCAUUAUGGAAAACAGUUUGGAAGUCUCUCAAAAAAUUAUAAAUAGAAUUACCUAAACCCACUACUGGAUAUAUAUCCAAAAAAUUGAAAUCAGUACAUUAAAGAGAUGUCUGCAUGCCCAUGUGCAUUGCACCUUUAUUCACAAUAGCCAAUAUGUGGAAUCAACCUAAGUGUCCAUCAACAGAUAAAUGGAUAAAGAAAACCUGGUAUAUAUACACAAUGGAAUACUAUUCAGCCUUUAAAAAGAAGGAAAUCCUGCCAUUUGUGACAAUAUGGAUGAAUCUGAAGGACAUUAUGUUAAGUAAAAUAAGCCAGGCACAGAAAGACCAAUACUGCAUGAUCUCACUUACAUGUGGAAUACAAAAAAGUCAAACUCAUCGAAGCACGGAGUAGAAAGGUGGUUACCAGGUGCUGGAAGUGUGAGGGAUGGUGCGAGAUGUUGGUUAAAGAAUAUUCGCAUUUCAGUUAGACAGGAGGAAUACGUUCAAUAGAUCUAUUGUACAACAUGGUGACUAUAGUUAAUAACGACGUAUUGUAUAUUUCAAAAUUGCUAAUAGAGCAGAUUUUAAGUGUUCUCACCACUAAUAGUAACUAUUUUAUAUGUUUGUUGGCUGCAUAAAUGUCUUCUUUUGAGAAGUGUCUGUUCAUAUCCUUUGCCCACUUUUUGAUGGGGCUGUUUUUUUCUUGUAAAUUUGUUGAAGUUCCUCAUAGAUUCUGGAUAUUAGCCCUUUGUCAGAUGGAUAGAUUGCAAAAAUUCUCUCACAUUCUGUAGGUUGCCUGUUCACUCUGAUGAACCUUUCUUUUGCUUUGCAGAAGUUCUUUAGUUUAAUUAGAUCCCAUUUGUCAAUUUUGGCUUUUUUUGCAAUUGCUAUUUGUGUUUUAGUCAUGAAGUCGUUGCCCUUGCCUAUGUCCUGAAUGGUAUUGCCUAUGUUUUCUUCUAGUGUUUUUAUGGUUUUAGGUUUUACAUUGAAGUCGUUAAUCCAUCUUGAGUUAAUUUUUGUAUAAGGUAUAAGGAAGGGGUCCAGUUUUAGUUUCCUGCAUAUGGCUACCCAGUUUCCCAGCACCAUUUAUUAAAUAGGGAAUCCUUUCCACAUUGCUUGUUUUUGUCAGGUUUAUCAAAGAUCAGAUAGUUGUAGAUGUGUGGUGUUAUUUCUGAGGUCUCCAUUCUGUUCCAUUGGUGUAUAUAUCUGUUUUGGUACCAGUACCAUGCUGUUUUGGUUACUGUAGCCUUGUGGUAUAGUUUGAAGUCAGGUAGCAUAAUGACUCCAGUUUCGUUGUUUUUGCUUAUGAUUGUCUAGGCUAUCUGGGCUCUUUUUUGGUUCCAUAUGAAAUUUAAAGUAGUUUUUCUAAUUCUGCAAAGAAAGUCAGUGGGAGCUUCAUGGGCAUAGCAUUUAAUAUAGACGUUACUUUGGGCGGUAUGGCCAUUUUCACAACAUUGAUUUUUCCUAUCCAUGAGGAUGGAAUGUUUUUCCAUUUGUUUGUGUCCUUUCUUAUUUCCUUGAGCAGUGGUUUGUAGUUCUCCUUGAAGAAGUCCUCAUCACUGGUCAUUAGAGAAAUGCAAAUCAAAACCAGAGUGAGACACCAUCUCAUGCCAGUUAGAAUGGUGACUAUUAAAAAGUCUGGAAACAAGAGAUGCUGGUGAGGCUACCAAGAAAUAGGAAUGCUUUUACACUUUUGGUGGUAGUGUAAAUUAGUUCAACCAUUAUGGAAGACAGUGUGGUGAUUCUUCAAGGAUUAGAACCAGAAAUGCCAUUUGACCCAGCAAUCCCAUUACUGGAUCUAUACUCAAAGGAUUAUAAAUUAUUCUACUAUAAAGACACAUGCACACUUAUGUUUAUUGCAGUACUAUUUACAAUAGCCAAGACUUGGAACCAACCCAAAUGCCCAUCAGUGAUAGACUGGAUAAAGAAAAUGUGGCACAUAUACACCAUGGAAUUCUAUGCAGCCAUAAAAAAGAAUGAGUUCAUGUCCUUUGCAGGGACAUGGAUGAAGCUGGAAGCCAUCAUUCUCAGCAAACUGCAAACUAACACAGGAACAGAAAACCAAACACUGCAUGUUCUCACUUAUAAGUGGGAGUUGAAUAAUGAGUACACAUGGACACAGGGAGGGGAACAUCACUCACCAGGGCCUGUCAGGGGGUGUGGGACAAGGGGAGGGAGAGCAUUAGGACAAAUACCUAAUGCAUGUGGGGCUUAAAACCUAGAUGAUGGGUUGAUGGGUGCAGUAAACCACCAUAGCAUAUGUAUACCUAUGUAACAAACCUGCAUGUUCUGCACACGUACCCCAGAACUUAAAGUAAAAUUAAAAAAAUAAAUAAAUAAAAAUAGGCUGGGCACAGUGGCUCACACUUGUAAUCCCAGGACUUUGGGAGGCCAAGGUGGGCGGAUCACGAGGUCAGGAGAUCAAGACCAUCCUGGCCAACAUGGUGAAACCCUGUCUGUACUAAAAAAUACAAAAAUUAGCUGGGCGUGGUGGCACACGCCUGUAGUCCCAGCUACUCGAGAGGCUGAGGCAGGAGAAUCACUUGAAACUGGGAAGCAGAAGUUGUAGUGAGCAAAAAUCGUGCCACUGCACUCCAGCCUGGCGACAGAGCGAGACUCCAUCUCAAAAAAAUAAACAAAUAAAUAAAUAAAAAUAAAAAAUAAAAAAUUAAACUAAAUUAAAUAAAAAGAAAAUAAAUAAAUAGUAACUAUUUUAGGUAAUACAUUUGUUAAUUAACUUGAUUUAGUCAUUCCACAAUGUAUACACAUUUCAAAACAUGAUGUUGCACACUACAAAUAUAUACAAUUUGUCAAUAAAAUAAAAUAAAUGAAUAAAAGAAAAAUGAUAAUCAGAAAAAAAUAAUUUUUUUAAAAGAUGGCAAUGGUGUUAAGAAACAUGAACUCAGGUACACUUUCAUACCCUUUCUUACUCAUGUUAUUUCCCUAUACUAGCUAACAGCUUACACUAAAACAAUGAUAAUAAGUCCUUCCUUACUCAUCAGCAACUUUAAGGUAGGGAGUGUUGAUAGAAUGUGUGCAGAUCAAGAAGUAAAAUAAAAACAGUUGAGUUAGUUUUAUGUAGUUAUUCUGCCAUUCUGGCAAGAACAAUAUACAUAUGUAGGUAUGAGCUAUGAAAUAUGAAUUAUGGAAUUUCAAUGAUUCCACAUGCAAGGUGAAUGAUCUUAUAUUUGCAUUUAAAACUGCCAUUGCACAAUAUAAAGAUGAAUGGUAAAAUUCAUGCUAAAAAUUUUAAACUCUAAUUUUUUUUUACUUAGAACAACAUUAAAUAGCAAAUGAAAGCGCACCAUGACAAUUUGAGAGAGUCACUACCAAAGAAAGAAAAGAAGCUUUAUGUUUUAAUAGCAUUAAUGUCACCCUUUUCCUGCUUUUUGAGCAAGGGGCCCCAUAUUUUCUUUUUUUAUGGGUUAACUAAUAUUAUUAUUAUUACUUUUUUAGAUUAUACUUUAAUGGGUUAACUAAUAUUAUUAUUAUUACUUUUUUAGAUUAUACUUUAAGUUCUGGGGUACAUGUGCAGAACGUGCUGGUUUGUUACAUAAGUAUACACGUGCCAUGGUGGUUUGCUGCACCCAUCGACCCGUCAUCUACAUUGGGUAUUUCUCCUAAUGCAAGGGGCCCCAUAUUUUCAUUUUGCAUUGGACUCCGCAAAUUAUGUAGCCCUCCCAAAAUAUGCCCUACCUCUUGAAACCUACCUGAAUGUUCAAUAGUAAUUGUCUUAUCUUUAUGUCUUAACAGAACAUGUUUGGUAUAGUGGGGUCUUUCUUUCCAGCUUGGCUCACCUCACCCAUCCCAAUCAUCAGAAAUAGGCCAGGGAAUAAAUAAGAAUAAAAUCAUGUUCUUCACAGCUACAUGGAUAGAACUGGAGGCCAUUAUUCUGAGUAACUCUGAAACAGAAAGAUGAAAUACUGCAUGUUCUCACUUACAAGUGGGAUCUAAACAAUGAGUACACAUGGACAGAAAGAUGGAAAUAAUAGGCAUUGGGGACUCUAAAAGGAGAUAGGGUAAGAAGAAGAUGAGGGUUGAAAAAUUACCUAUUGGGUACAGUGUUAACUAUUUGGGUGAUGAGUCCACUAGAAGCCCAAACCUCACCAUUACACAAUAUAUCCUUGUACCAAAUCUGCUCAUAUAUCCCCUGAAAACAAAAUAAAAUAAAAUAAAAUAACAACAAAAGAAAUAGGGCAGGCAGAACAUUGCACUUCAACCCCAAUUUAUAGACAUUAUUAAGUUAAGCUUCCUCUCACAUUAAUAAAACUACAGGAAGUCCAUUUGACUUGAGAGACAAGAAAUUGAAUUUCUUUAUGGCCUCUGUAAAUAAGUCUAGCACCGUGCCUGAAACAAUAUAGUAGGUAAUCAAUGAAAGUUGCUCAACUGGUUCAUAAAUUGUGAUCAUCUACAUGUAUACGAUUUCCUAAUUCUUCUAAUAUGUACUAAUUUUGAUUGGCAAACCAGGAGCAGAUAACAAAAUAUAAUUAAUAUGUGACAAUUUUUUUUUAGAAAAACAAAAGAGAAGGCCCAACCCACUAUUCUUUACACUUGUGAUUAACUGUCACCAUUAUACAGGGGCCUACAUAUUUAUCUCUAGAUUUCACUAAAAGCAAUCAAAGACCUGUCUGUAAUGAAUUCAUACUCCUAACAUCUUGCCUCCAAAUUUGAGAAAUACUAUCUCUAUUAAUUUAACAUUAGUUCAAUGGCAAGUGACAGAAUUUCCCUCAUCCCCACCUAUGAAAUAGUGGCUUCAGCAAAUUAGAUGCUCUUUUCUUUCUGAUUUAUAAGUCUGGGAGUAAGUGAUUCAGGGCUAUGUUCUCAACAGUGUGAGUGACCUAGGUGUCUUCUAUUUUGUUGUUCUGCUACGUAUAACCUCUAUCCCCAAGGUUGCCUUGAGAUCCAAGAUGUCCUUGGCUAUCCAGCCUGUCUGCAGAAAAGCAGGAAUAAAAUGAGACGAAAAGGCAUGCUCCCUUCUUUUAAGAAACUUUGAGAAAUUGCACACAACACUUCAACUUACAUGGCAUUAGCUGGAGUUCAGACACAUAGCCAGACUAGGUGCAAAAGAGACUAGUAAAUAUAAUCUUAUGUUCCCAGCUUAAAAUGUAGGGUUCUGGUAUAGAGGAAAAUCAGGAGCAUGGGAGUCGUGGGAAACCAUGUUGUAUUUUCAAGUCAUCUAUAACCCUACCUUCCUGCAAUGACCUCUCACCUCAGGAAAUUCCACUAGCAACGUGCCUGAAACAUAAUAUAGUAGUUAACCAAUGAAAGUUGCUCAAUUGGUUCAUCAAUUGCGAUCAUUUACAUUUAUUCAAUUUCCUAAUUCUUCUAAUAUGUACUAAUUUUGAUUGGUAACCCAGGAGCAGAUAACAAAAUAUAAUUAAUAUGUGAUUUUUAAAUUUUAUUUAUUUAUUUAUUUUUUAGAGAUGGAGUCUUGCUCUGUCGGCCAGGCUGGAGUGCAGUGGGGCAAUCUUGGCUCACUGCAACCUCUGCCUCCCAGGUUCUAUCAAUUUUCCUGCCUCAGCCUCCUGAGUAGCUGGGACUACAAGCGCACGCUGCCACGCCCGACUAAUUUUUUGUAUUUUAGUAGAGACGGGGUUUCACCGUGUUGCCCAGGCUGGUCUUGAACUCCUGAGCUCAGGCAAUUCGCCUGCCUUGGCAUCCCAAAGUGCUGGGAUUACAGGCGUGAGCCACUGCACCAGCCCAAAAUAUUUUUUAAAAUAAUCACAGUCUAUGCUAUCUGUCUUAGAAACUAAAUUUAUUUUCUAAUGUCAGAUGAUGUGCUUAAAGUAUAUUCUCUCUUAAAAUGAUAGACACACUUGAGUGUACAUAAUCUUUUGAGGUGCUUUUUAGAAGACUGAUUUCUAAAUUAUAUCCACAAAGAUUUGAAUUCAGAAAGUCUAGGGUUGGGCUCAGGAAUCUGAGAGACAGAGAGAGUUGAGGGAAACUGAGAAGCCAACCAAGGCUGACUUCCAAGUCUCUUGACUGUUAGAGACUAUAGGAAAAGGAAAAGGAACAUACCUCGGUGAAUACAAUUGGGAACUUAUUCCAUUUGAAGUGCCUAAGGAAUAUCUGAGUGGCAAUCAGCUAUGUGGGCCUAUGGUUCUAAUACUCAACACACAGAGAGAGAGAGUAUGGAUGGCUGCUGCCUGUUAAUCUUAGGACCAUCUCACAUCAGGAUGUUCCAGUAAAAACCUUUCUGAUAAAGUGUGUCUAAUAAUGAAUCAAUACAAAUGUGAAAAUGAUCUUUUAUUUUGGUCUUGUGGCUUAAUUCCAAAUAAUUUGCUUCAUGCUCCAUCUUCACAAAAGGGUUUAGUCUAAAUACUUGGAGAAUUAUUCGUAACAGCUCUAGUUUCAGGCUCCUCUGUUUGGCACUGGUUGGUGGUCCAGUUCCUUCCAUCUGACCAAGAUGUUACAGCCUACUCCAAAAACUAUGCCAGGGAGUGUUCUGAGACAUAAUUCCUAUUCUGAGAUUGAGAUGGGCCUGUUUGGAUGGGGUGCUAAAAUGAAAGAAAUCCCAAAUGCACAGCAAAUCCAUUUUUCCUGUACCCUAGUUAUUGCAUUUACAAAAACACUUGAUUUUGCAGUUUUAAAGAGUGGAAGGUUUUUAAAGCAACAGUAAAAUCUAGAAGUCUCUUUAAGGAAAGGCCAAAUAUAUUAGAGUGGGAAACAGUGUGCCAUGCCUGUGAAGCUUGCAAUUAUACUUGGCUUUGCCUGGUGUUGAAAGUGACCAAAACUAAUCAGGUCCAGAAGAGCAUUCAGUAAAGCUGCUUUUCUGACUCUCUGCCUCUGCCCUUCCUGCUUCUGCUGCUGAGCAGAUUGCAAGAGACUGGUGCCAACUCUACAUUGCUUAAUAAUAAUUCUCAUUAGCAUGCUGCCUUGGAUGUGUACUGCAGAGCAAAAUUUAGCUUCUCCUUGGUGUGAAUCAAGAGAAGAUCAUGAAAUUCUCAGAAUGUGCAAAAGGUUUGAAGAUCUUAGUAUAGGGAACACCUUCGGAUGUGCUUAGGAAUCUCUUUUUUCUCUCCAACCAGGGUAGGAUAGACAGAGAGGAAUUUUAAUACCAAAUGGAGAACUUUGCGUUCUUUCUGCUUCUCCACAUGCAGCCCCUGAGAUUUCAAUUGUCUGUGCCUUAUUGAACACUCUGAUACAUUCCAAAUGUCCAUGGCCUGUCCAAGCUCAGGGCCCCUGUGGAGUGAAUGCUAUUAGCUUUGCUCUGUGCAUUUGACCACAGGGCAGCAGGCCGCAUGUACCUGCAGCUCCAUGACUGUCCUGAGGUCGUUCACAUUAGCUUUUGUUAUGAAAGUGAACGAGAUGCUGUUUACUCUCCUGCAGAUGCCAGGGUGACUGGAUGGCACUCUGAGGAGACACGCACAACCUUGUACAUUCACAGCCUAUUUAGCAGGGGCCGUAUUUCCCACAACGGCUUUCACAUGCCAUCUGCUGUCACAUGAUCCCACGUGCCAGGUCCUUAUAAGAAAUGUAUUCGAUCACCCAGUUUCUCACUACUCCUUUAGAAAUGGCAAAUUGAACUACUUACUAGUAGGUUUCACACUAAAGGAAUUAUGUGCAUAUCAAAUGUAGUGAAUUAAAAGGGUAUUUUUAUUGUCAUUGCUGGCUGCAAAAUGGCAAUCACACACCCUCAUGAAAAAUUUGGAGAAGAUAUCAGAGUUAGUGGUUAACAGGAAAGAUACUUAAAUUUUUCGUGAAUUUACUUCCCAACAGAAUAACUACAAAACAAAAUUUGAAGAGGAGUCCAAGGCAUUUUCUGGUUCCAUACUUUUUUCAUUCUCCUGUUGGAUACCAUUUCUCCUGUCUGAUCCAAUGCUGAGCUCAGUGGUAAUGAAGUGCCACAUUGUGAAAGGGUAAGAGAACUGGUACAAAGCGUACCAGGGAACAAAUGAAUUAGUACACCUGUCACGUCUCACUCUUGAAGGAUGGCACCUUCUUUGUUAAUUGAAAAGAAAUGUAAAAUGGGAGAAAUAGCAAAAAAAAAAAAAAAAUAUAUAUAUAUAUAUAUAUAUAUAUAUAUAUAUAUAUUUCUGGCUCUUCUUUCUUUCUUCUCCUUCAUGGCCUAUGACAGCAUACUGUAAUGUCUCCAAGUCUUGCAUUUUCAUAUAUUAUUCUGAUACUGUCUGCAGGGAGCCUAGAACGGGGCUGCCAGAGAGACAGUCUGUAAUUGAAAGUUCUUUCAAGAGAAGGACUUCUAUCAGGUCUGCUGAGGGAAUAGGAGCUCCACCUGCUGACUUUUUUAUGUUUGCUGACUCUGAAAGAAUGCAAAACAUGAAGAAAUUGAAUGGUGUUAUUUCUUUUGUAAUUUCUCAGUGGAAAUAUUGUUUUCAAAAUUAUUGAUAAGAUGUACCAGUCUAACCAGGGCUUUCAAGAAGAAAAUGCAAUCUAUAGCUUGUUUUAAGAGUGGGGAUUAUGUUGGCUUCCCUGGGCCAGUCUAAAUAAUUACUUUAAUCUGGAACAACAUAUAAAUUCAUAAAUUGUUGCCACCACGACUCUUAGGGAAUCCUCGACUUUUCAAACAUUGCCUCUCUCAGCCAUAAAUUUACACUGCGCCACUCGCCCAUGUGUGUUUUGUUUUAAGAAGCUGUAGUCUCUUGUUACAUGUAGUUUGGAAGAAAUGCUAGAUGUUUUUGAUCUAAAGAAGAAAGAUCAAGUCCUAGUCAAACUUUAGUAUUUUAAAGGGCAUAGACAUUAUUUGAGUAUAUGUCGUCUGCGUUUCAGAAAGAAGCUAUGCAGUUUUGUAUAAAAGCCACAUAAAACCAUAAACUUGUCAUUUGUCUUUUCCUUGAUGGAAAUUGCCACGAGGAAGCGUGGAAUGCAUUAUCAACAUGCUUGAUUGAUUAACUCCUGGGCCAAUGGGAUCAUGAGGGCAGGUACACCUCCUCGCUCCUUACAACCUCAGUAUUGUGGGUUUCAUUUCUUAUCUAGAUUUUGUUUACUGACAAAUAAUAAGCUACAUGACUGGCUGGAUUCUACUGAAAAAAAAAAAAGGAACCUUUAUUUAUGGCUUGGGUUUUAGGCUUAGAAAGACACUUUCGCAUUAUUUUGUAUAUUAGCAUUGUAAGUCCUUUUCUGUAUUAAUGUAAACCACUGGAAGUGGAUACAGAAAUCUCCUCUCAGGCCCUGUAACAGAAUUGACUGUACCCAGAUAAUUCUUGUGGAGGGAUUUGUUAGCUAGUUAGCCAGCUAGCUUUUUUGGUAGUCCUAAUAAGCUUCCCCCAGAUCUUUCUUCUGGUGAUACACUAUGUACUCCAGGAGCUGCCGCCUACUCAUUCUUCAGGAGAGGUCACAUGACCCAGAACUGUACCCAUACUCUUGGUCCAAUCAGAGUUUCUCCCUGGGAUCCAUAUAUGCACAGUGAGAAACAGAUGCCAUCUCCUUCCUCAAAUGUUGUUGAACCUCGGCUGCUUGUGGUCAUGUUCUCUGCCACGUGGUGAUAACCUGGCUGGAGUAGGAGAAACAGGCUAGUGCUAAAAGCAAAGUGAAAGGCUGACAGAGAUGAGAGCUGCAGCAGGAGAGAAAAAGCCACGGCAGUGUUGACUGUCUUAUUCCAGAGCCCAAGGCCUUGCUUCUUACAGCCCCUCCUUUGUUUCUGUGGGUUACCCUCAUUGUCUCCCCAUUUCUGGAUUACACAAGUCUGUGAUGGAUUUCUGCUAUUCACAACCAAAAGAGGCCUUACUAUCAUUGCCUCGUAAAACAGAAAUGAGAGUGAUGCAAUCAACAAUUAAAUACUUACAGGUAAGGGAAGAGGCCUCAUUUUCUUUAUUGAGACUAGAAUUAUAAAGGAUAGAGAAACAGAAACAGAAAAAAAUUCUCUAGAGUAUUAGAUUACAACAAUAACUAGCAUUUGUGUAGUGCUCUACAGUUUUUAAAGUACUUCCAUAAUCAUUUCUUUCAUUUGACCCUCACAAUAAUUCUGCAAAAUGGAGAAUACAGUGUAUAAUUAUCCACAUGUUGCCAACAUAGCAGAAUGGUGAAUGGAAGUGUUUCCUGUGGUUCUGGAAUUAUAGUGAAGGCUCAUGGAUGAAGACAAAGGAUUCUGCAUUUUGUGUUUUAUAUUUUGAGUCCAAGGGACCCCCAAUUUGGGGGCCUAGCCACUUUCUCUACAGUUUUACUGGGAAGGGCCAGUUCAGAGAAUCCACAAAAUAAACUCCAAACCCAAAGGGAGUCAAGAAAAUCUCAUGUGAAUAUUGGGGCAUCUACAAGAAGUGGAAGCUGGCAUAUCGUUCCCCAGCUAGACAUCAGUUUCACCAGCAGACCUGCCUUCUUGACUCUAAACAGUCAGAGUACAGGAAAGGAAGAUGGAGAGAGAGAACAUGGAGUGGGAAACUAAUGCUCAGAGAGGUUACUUUUUCAAGGCCACAAAUAGAGUUAGCAGCUGAUCUGAGGUUUGAAAAUAACCACUGAUGCUCACACAGCAUGUGUCAGAUCCAUGGGGUAGGAGUCGGCCAGAGACUUGGUAACAGACAGAUUGCUGGAUCCCACCCCUAGACUCUCUGAUUCAGUUAGUUUGGGGUAAGGCGCAAGACUGAAUUUUUCACAAGUUUCCAAGUGGUGCUGAUACUUCUGGUCCAGGAACUUAGUGGGAGAGAACGACUAAUCUAGACCAUUUCACUUCACAUUCUGAGCUUCUUGUACACUGUCACACUGCAUCCUUUUAACAAUGCAUUCCCUAUCCUAUUGCAAUACUGACAUCUCAUCAAUAUUUUAAAACAUGCGUUUUCAGAAACAAUAUUUUAUAUCAAAUACUCACUUUUAGUAAUAUUUCUGCAAUUUUGCCCUAUGGAUCUGAGAUCUAACAAAUACUAUUCUGGACAUGGGCUACAACAGUUGAGGCUGGAAGUAAAAAUGUUAAACCCUGCUGACCACGUUAUUUUAAAGUGUAUUUUAGUUAAGAAUAAUAUGGCUUAGGAGCAGGGCUAAACAGUAGCAGUACACAUGGGGAAUGAUAACUUUGCUUUUGCACAUAAAAUGUACCUGAAGGGAAAAAAUAAAGCAGAAAAUAAACAAGAUGAACUGAAAAUACUGUAACAAAUGUUGGGCUGAAAUACUGCCAGGCGUGGAGGUGUAGGAAAAUGAACACACAUUUUGGUGGCAAGGCACAAAACUGUUUAAAUCCUUUUGCAGAAGUUUCUGAAAACUGUAAUUUUGGCAUGGAUCCAUGAGCAGAGUUAUUGGGCUUAUAAUGUAGGCAAACCAACAAUAUCUGUAAGAAUUGCCUUGUCCAGCCUUGGAUGUUGCAUAACUCCUGUAAAAUAUCACCUUCACAUAUGCCAAAGAAUGGAACAGUGAAAUAAAUUCAGAAAUUUUCUCUAUACAAUAAAGAGAUACCAGAAGGUGUGAAUUCUCAAUAAAUGAUAGCUUGCUUAUGCUCUCUUAACAAAGUAAUAUUCCUACAAAGAACUAAGAUUGAUGUAUUUGGGUAUGUAUAUUAUUUUUCAUUAAAAUAUUUUAUUAAGUUUAGUUUACUAUAAAAUCUAAAACUGAUAACUUCUGGUCAGUGUUGAUGACAGAGUAGGUUUGGGGUGUGAGAAGCUAAGGUGCACAUGUGUGGUAGUGACAAACCAUUUUAAGAGAAUGACAUCCGAAAUCUGAAACUUAUUACUUAAAGGGCAGGGGUGCAGCAGGGGCCCCAAAUACAGUUGUUCUGCAAAGAAAUAAAUGAAGUGAUUGCUACCCUGGAGAAUGUUCAUAUCAGCUUCACACUUCUGAUGAUAGUACUGACGGACGAUCAGGGUGAGGGAGGGAUGAGGCCUGUGCUCUCCCCAACAUGUACUUCAUGCCCCCUACCUGAAAUGGUUUGGCUCUGUGAACCCACCCAAUUCUCAUUUCCUGUCAAGGGAGGGAACAGGUGGGAGGUGACUGGAUCGUGGGGGCAGUUUCCCCCAUGCUGUUCUCAUGAUAGUGAGGGAAUUCUCAUGAGACCUGAUGGUUUUAAAGUGGCAGUUUCCCCUGCCCACUCGUCUUCUGCCACCUUGUGAUAAAGGCUUUGCCUUCCACAAUGAUUGUAAGUUUCCUGAAGCCUCCCAGCCAUGCAGAACUGUAAGUCAGUUAAACCUCUUUCCUUUCUAAAUUACCCGGUCUCAGGCAGUUCUUUAUAGCACUGUGAAAAUGGACUGAUACACUACCUUUCUGACUGUAGGGCCAAGACCCAGCUUUACACAGAAGUUGAGAAGAAAGCCCCCUAACCCAGUGACAGAACUUUUUGUCUGUAAACCCUAUCUGCAAAGUGGAUUUUAUAAGGUAGGAUUUCUACAUAUUGAGUCAUUUUUGGGGAGAAAAAUAGAAAAAGAAAUAUAAGAUUAUAGGAAAAGAACAUGAAGAAAGAAAGUAUGUGAAAGUUGUGUACUGGUGAGGGAGUUUAAGUAAUGCCUUUGAUUCUCCAAAGUUUUCUCCUUUAUCUGUGCCUAAGAUGGAAUAUAUAUAUAUUUCUUACUAACUUCUAAUCAUCUCUAUAGUGCCAAGAAAUAGGUGUUAUCACAAUCUGAUAGAUAAGAAAUUUUAAGGGUAGGGGCUCGCACACAAUUAAUUAAUGAACGAGCUUGGAUUUAGAACCAGCUCUCUCAGAUUCCAGAGCAACUGAUGUUUCUACUGUACCAUGUUGCUUUUAUGUAUGGGGGAAUUUUUUUCUUUUAUUGAUACAUAAUAUUUUACAUAUUUGUGGGGCACAUGUGAGUAUUUCUUACAUGCAUAAAUUGUGUAAUGAUCAAGUCAGGGUAUUUGGAGUAUCCACCACCUUGAGUAUUUAUCAUUUCUAUGUGUUGGUAUCAUUUCAAGUCCUCUCUUCUUAGUUACUUUGAAACACACAAAAUAGUGUUGCUAAGUACAGUCACCCUAGUUGGCUAUCAGACACUAGAACUUUUUUCUUCUAGCUAACUAUAUGUUUGUACCCAUUAAUCAACCUCUCUUUAUUCCCCCUCUCAUCCACCCACUCUUCCCAGUCUCUGGUAUCUGUCAUUCUAUUCUCUGUGUCCAUGAAAUAAAAAUUUUUAACUUUCACAUAUGAGUGAGAAUGUGAGGCAUUUGUCUUCCUGUGCCUUAGCUAUUUCACUUAACAUAAUGACCUCCAGUUCUAUUCAUGUUGGUGCAAAUGACAUGAUUUUAUUCUUUUUAAUGGCCAAAUAGUAUUCCAUUAUGUAUACACACAUUUUUAAAAUUCAUUUGUCCAUUGUUGGACACUUAGGUUGAUUCCAUGUCUUUACUGCUGUGAAUAGUGCUGUGAUAAAUGUGCGAAUGUAGGUAUCAUUUUGAUAUGCUGACUUCUUUUCCUGUGGAUAAAUAGUAAUGGGAUUGGUGGGUCAUAUGGUAGUUCUAUUUCCAGUUAUUUUUUAAUUUCCAUACUUCUUUCCAUAGAAGUUGUACUAAUUUACAUUCCCACCAACAGUGUAUAAGAGUUCCUUUUAUUCCACAUCCUCACCAUUGUUGUUUUUUGUCUUUUAUUUGUCAUCAUCUGUUGUUUUUUGUCUUUUUAAUAAUAGCCACUCUAACUGCAGUGUAAUGAUGUCUCAUUGUGGUUUUGAUUUGCAUUUCCCUGAUAAUUAGUGAUGCUGAGCAUUUUGUCAUAUACCUGGUGGCCAUAUGUAUGUCUUAUUUUGAGAAAUGUCUAUUUUUGUCCUUUUCCCAUUUUUAGUGGGAUUAUUUAUUGUCGGUUUUUUUUACUGUUGAGUUUCUUGUAUGUUCUGAAUAUUAGUCACAUAAAGGAGUUUACAAACAUUUUCUCCCUUUCAAGAUAUUCUCUCCUCACUCUAUUGACUGUUUCUUUUGCUGUGCAGAAGCUUUUUAGUUUGAUAUAGUCCCAUUUGUCUCUUAUUGUUUUUGCUGUCUAUGCUUUUGAGUUCUAGCCAUAAAAUCACUGCUUAGACCCAUGUACUGAACAGCCCUAUGUUUUCUUCUAGUAGUUUUAUAGUUUCAGGUCUUACAGUUAAAUCUUUAAUGAAUCUUGAGUUGACUUUUGUAUAUGGUGAGAGAUAGGUGUCCAGUUUCAUCUUUCUGCAUGAGAUUAUCCAGUUUUCCCAGCACCAUUUAUUGAAGAGGAUGUAUUUUCCUUAAUGUAUAUUCUUAAUGGCUUUGUCGAAGAUCAGUUGGCUAUAAAUUUGUGGAUUUAUUUGAGUUCUCUAUUCUGUUUCAUUGGUUUAUGUGUCUAUUUUUACACCAAUACUAUUUUGUUUUGGUUACUAUAGCCUUGUGAUAUGUUUUCAGGUAAUAUGAUGCUUCCAGGUAUUUUUUUUUUUUUUUUACUCAGGAUUGCUUUUUUAUUUGGGCUCUUUUUUUGGUUCCAUGUAAAUUUUAGAAUUUUUUUUUCUAUUUCUAUGAAAAAUGAUGUUGGUACUUUGAUAGGGAUUGCAUAGAAUCUGUAGACUGUUUUUUGGCAGUGUUUAUCAUAUUAAUGAUAAUUAUUCUUCUGAUUCAUAAAUAUGGAAUGUUUCCAUUUGCUUGUGUCUUCGGUUUUUUUAAUCAGUGUUUUGUAGUUUUCCUUGUAGAUAUAUUUUACCUCUUUGGUUAAAUUU